Molecule: long non-coding RNA, 81318 nt
Filed under: Brassica napus (rape)
Lineage: Eukaryota; Viridiplantae; Streptophyta; Magnoliopsida; Brassicales; Brassicaceae
Description: long non-coding RNA (BNAP_LNC007759)
Rfam family: Plant small nucleolar RNA R71 (bases 52454-52560)
Source: RNAcentral
AAAACCAAACUAAGCGAUUACCAAACGGAAAACCGAUUUUUUUUAGCUGCUGAAUUGAACCGAACCUUUCGGUUUGGCAGGUUCGGUUUGGUUAAUAACCGCAGGCCUACUUGUUAAUGUCUAGCUGAACUAACUUAAUAAGUACUCUGAAUGGGUGUUUUGUCACAGGACGUUAUGCUUCUAAACCAGUCAUUGCUGUUUGAUGGGGCUGGUGGUAUGCAUGAUCGUUAUAGAGACAUGCGACUAGAUGUAGACAACAUGUCAUAUGAGGUAAAAAAAAACCCCAUAAAUCUUUGUCAUUUUUUGCUCGUAAAAGCUUCACUCAUUUGGUUAAUAAACUUUAGGAACUGUUGGCACUAGAAGAGCGUAUUGGAGAUGUUUGCACGGGUGUAAACGAAGAAACCAUAUCAAACCGGUUGAAGCAGCGUAAAUUCAAAAGCAGCACAAAAUCUCCACAAGAUGCAGAGCCAUGCUGUAUUUGUCAGGUACAAAUAUAUACUUGUUGCUGCAAUGGUGAUACCAAGAAAUAUUACAUUUUUUUCCGGUUAUGAAUGGUGAAACAUGGUGUGCAGGAGGAAUACAUUGAAGGAGAAGACAUGGGGGCGUUAGAAUGUGGGCAUGAUUUCCAUAGCCAAUGCAUAAAAGAAUGGCUGAAACAGAAGAAUAUUUGCCCAAUUUGCAAGACGACAGGCUUGAACACUGCCAAGAAGCGAAAAAUAGGAUGAAUGAGAGAGUAUUCAGAAGAGAAUGAAAAUCCUUUUUUUCUGUAUUUGGUCGGAUAAUUUAUUUUACUCAUUUGUCAAUGGAUUAUUAUGAAUCCAUUGAAAGAAGCAGGAAGUUGAGUCGGUUGAUGUUGAGAUGUUACUUAUGAAAGGAUUGUUAAUAAACAACCCAUACUUUGUCUUUUGAAGGUGGCUCUCUCUUUUUUUAACUCGAGCUUGAAAAUGCAUAGUCUUAGAUCUUUUGAUUCCAGAGACAAACCUGCUUUGCCUAGCCUUUAAGAGACCUUCAACAUUUAAAACACCAAAGAAAUUGUCGAAUAAUAUGUCAUCCGUGAAUCUCCUUUGAUGUGGUGAGUACGUGCGAUGCGGAAAGACUUUACGCUAUUGUAUGCCGAAAGACAUUUUCGAGUUUUGAGCACAAAAAAUAGACCGAGUAAAAUAACCAAAAUGUUUCAUUUAAUAGUUAAAAGGAUCUUAAUAUCCUAAAUAUAUAUAAAAUAUAUAUAUAUAUAUAUAUAUUUUAUAAUUUUAGAUUAUAUGUUUCAAAUUUGAACUUCUUUAUAAAAAAAAAAUUUUAAUUUUUUUUUUAAGUUUUUGUUUUUUUCAGUUUUUCUUUUUGUAAUUCAAAAAUACUUUUUAAAACUAUUUUUAACAUUUUUAUUUUAAAAUUUUUAAUAUUUAUUUUUUAUUUUAUAAAACUUUAAAUCUCAAUCUCAAAUCCCCACCCCUUAACUCUAAACCCUAAAGUUUGGAUUAGCUAACCAUAUGAGUAUAAGUGUAUAUUUACCUCUUUAAGAAAUAUUUUGGUCAUUUUGAUCCUAAGAAUCUAUAUUUAUGACAUAAAUUUUUUUAAUGUUAUCCUAUGGUAUUUCUCUUAAAUUAAUGAUGCCGUUAAUGAUGUUAAUUUUUUUUACAACAAGAGGAACAUCUAACUUAAUAACCUUUUGAUGUCAAAAAAACUUCUUUUUUUCUUAAGCUAUUGCUAAUUCAGAAGUUCCGGAUCUAUGGGGAUCAUGUGUGAUGGCUGGACUCGUACAUUCAUUGCCGGCUUGUCUGUCAUUGUACAUGUUUUUGUCACGGGAAUAUAAGAGAUUAUAAAAACGUCGAAAGAUUUCCAUAUGAAUUGAAAAAAUAAGCCAUUUUUUUGGUGUAAACACUAUCUUUAUUAACUAUAUGCAUAAUCUGUUCAAAUGCUAGUUUUGAUUGUUAGAAAAUGAUCAUGUCCAGAUCAGUGUUUUAAAUUCCGCAUGUAAUAGGGACAUGUCCGGCUCUGCAGAGAAGGUGAGGAAGUAUGGGCUUCCGGCCCACAAUAAUAUAAAUAAAAUUCAUUCAACUAUUUUAAAGUCUCUUUAGUAUAGUGGUGUAAAUCAUCUAACUAUAACCUAAAAAAUAUGAAUUCCUCUUUCUAAUGUUCCUAGCACCUAAUAACCCUUCAAAACCUCCAUGCUUACUAUACCACCUUUGCCCCUAAACAUAUAUGUCUCUUUUCAAAAUCCAUCGAUUUUACACCAUCGAAAAAAAUUUAUACUUGGAUGUACGAUAUGGGAAGAUAAAGAUAAGUUUACCCAUUGGACCAUAUUUAAUACCACUUUCGAGUGUGCUUCAGACAAAUGAAACAAUUCUGAAUCAGCUACUUUAAUGUCUUAGGAUCCUGUCAAUGUUACUACAUAAUUUAUCAUUCCAAUUUUUCUAGAUAAACCAGAAAAUUCAUGAGAAUUUAUUUUGAUCAUCAACAUAAAUUAUUCUUCAAAACAAAUAAUUCAUAUUUGUGAAGAUUGAUUAUGUUGGAAAAACUGUAGGAUUCAAUGGAAUAUUGUUGGAUAAUGCCCAUUACUGCUUAGAUGGAGGACAAUUAGACAAUACAUGAUUAAUUGUCUCGUCCUCCAGCCAUAUCUCACACAGUGUGUCUUGCAAUUUAUCCCUCUCCCCAUAAAGAUUUUGCUUCAUGAAGACAACUUGAAAGAGCUUACCAAAUAAAGUGUCUCAAUUUUGGUGAGUAUUUUAGUUAUUAUUUUUUAUUUUAUUUUUUUGCUACAAAUGUAAAUAUCAAAUUGAAGGAAAAGUUUGAUUACUCUUUAAGUAAAUCGAUAAAACUGCAUCACCUAGGUAAACAAGUUUAAAAACAAGGUGAGACAAGAUAGGCAAAAGAUAAAUGUUUAAAUAACAUAAAAAUUUGUUUUUUUGUCAUCAACUAGAACAUACUCAAACUGACUCUGUAAACCAAAUUGGUAACUUCGCAUCCAUGUGAACGACGACUCUGUAAACCAAACUGGUAACUUCGCAUCCAUGUGAACGACGAAAGACUAUUGCUUCCUGGCACUACGUGCUAGACUAUCUUGACACAAGUUCCUCAUACACUCCAUUGCCCAAACUAAAGCCUCGAUCUCUGAAUAAAGAGGAGAUAAACUAGCCCUUACAUUUCUUGCCCCCAUCAAACCAUCAAAACUUUCUAAUGAGCUAUACCAUCUUUGACCUGAAAAAAACCUCAUUUUCUCUCCAAGAGCCAUCUGAAAAGCACCAUCACCCUAGGAUUGGUGACAUAGUCAUAGCCUCUACAGGUCGUGUCCCCCUCUGUAUGUUCAACACUUGUGCUUCAGUCCAAAAUAUUGAUUUUGUUUCUGCCAAUUUUAACGUAUUCCGAGGAUUAAUGUCUAGAUUGCUGAAAGCUUUGUUGUUCUUUCCUUUACAAUUAUACCAUAGAAUCCAUGCAAACUGAUCAUCAUCCAUUUGUUGAUAUACUCUCCAGAAUAAGUGAUCUAUAUUUGUAAAUAAAGCAGCAGUAGGGAAGAUAGUUGGAUUAGAUGGUAUUUUUGAAAGGGCCUAAAUUUGAUGCGUUGGAAUACACUCAAAAAAUACAUGGUUUAUUGAUUCUUCUGGAACUCCACAUAUGGCACAACAUAUAUCCCCUUAGAAACCUCUCGUUCCAGAUUUUUCUUGACUGCUACACAUCCUGACACCAAUUGCCACAAGAAAUGUUUUAUUUUAGGUGGACACCGUAUUUUCUAGUAAAACGCUUUUAAUGAAUCAACUGUGGGUCCAACCAUAAAAAAUGUUAUUUUAGGACAAAUUCAACAUUCAAGAUUAAAGCCAUCAUUAUAUUUUUUUUCUCUCGAUGUUCUUGGCCUAAAAAGAUAUUGUUUAUAAGAAGAAAUUGAGUACCCUGAAAAAGUUUUUUUUGUUUUAUUUUAAAUAGACCUAGGCCAAAAGUUUGUCUAAUUUAUUAAUUUAGGGUUCUAUUUUUAUUUAUCAUUAACAAGUCAUAGUAUGACCAUUUAAAGAAUUAGUUAAUAUGACAUAUUUGAUUAUUUACAUUAAUAAUAAAUGAACUAUAAAUUUGAAUUUUAUUUUUUAAAUUAUAGCAAAAUCGAUUGAGAAGGAAUCUACAACAUCUUACUUAAAAUUUUAAAUAUUUAUAAAAUAACAUAUUAAUUAAUUUUUUAAUUAGUUAUAUAAUAUUUCUAUAAAUCAAUAUUAACUAAAAUUUUAUUAUAAAGCAAGAAAAUAAAAAUUAUAUACUCAUUUAUAAAUUUUAUAAUUAUAUUCUGUAUUAUAUAAAAAUGGAAGUGCUAUAUGAAUUAAAUAUGACAGAAUUAUAUUAAAUAGAUAAAUUAGGGGAAUUUUUUUAAAAUUGUUUCAUUCAAAUAAAUUAUCAAUCAUCAUUAAAAUGGCUUAAAAUUCAUAAAAUAUAUAAUAUUUUAUACAAAAAUAAACUUAUUAACAGAAACUUUGCAUGAUAUCGACAACUAUAUAUUAUCUUUUUAUUUAUUUUGAAAUUAUCAACAAUAUAUUGUUUAAAAUGUUUAUAUACAAAAAUAUAAUAGUAUAAAAUAACAUUUAGUUCAUAUACCAUUAAAAAAUGUAUGAUUAUAAAACUAUGAAAUUUUAGUAAUUCAUUUAAAAUAUUAAUGACAAAUCAAAUUUUAAUGUACGUGCGAUGCGGAAAGACUUUACGCUAUUGUAUGCCGAAAGACAUUUUCGAGUUUUGAGCACAAAAAAUAGACCGAGUAAAAUAACCAAAAUGUUUCAUUUAAUAGUUAAAAGGAUCUUAAUAUCCUAAAUAUAUAUAAAAUAUAUAUAUAUAUAUAUAUAUUUUAUAAUUUUAGAUUAUAUGUUUCAAAUUUGAACUUCUUUAUAAAAAAAAAAUUUUAAUUUUUUUUUUAAGUUUUUGUUUUUUUCAGUUUUUCUUUUUGUAAUUCAAAAAUACUUUUUAAAACUAUUUUUAACAUUUUUAUUUUAAAAUUUUUAAUAUUUAUUUUUUAUUUUAUAAAACUUUAAAUCUCAAUCUCAAAUCCCCACCCCUUAACUCUAAACCCUAAAGUUUGGAUUAGCUAACCAUAUGAGUAUAAGUGUAUAUUUACCUCUUUAAGAAAUAUUUUGGUCAUUUUGAUCCUAAGAAUCUAUAUUUAUGACAUAAAUUUUUUUAAUGUUAUCCUAUGGUAUUUCUCUUAAAUUAAUGAUGCCGUUAAUGAUGUUAAUUUUUUUUACAACAAGAGGAACAUCUAACUUAAUAACCUUUUGAUGUCAAAAAAACUUCUUUUUUUCUUAAGCUAUUGCUAAUUCAGAAGUUCCGGAUCUAUGGGGAUCAUGUGUGAUGGCUGGACUCGUACAUUCAUUGCCGGCUUGUCUGUCAUUGUACAUGUUUUUGUCACGGGAAUAUAAGAGAUUAUAAAAACGUCGAAAGAUUUCCAUAUGAAUUGAAAAAAUAAGCCAUUUUUUUGGUGUAAACACUAUCUUUAUUAACUAUAUGCAUAAUCUGUUCAAAUGCUAGUUUUGAUUGUUAGAAAAUGAUCAUGUCCAGAUCAGUGUUUUAAAUUCCGCAUGUAAUAGGGACAUGUCCGGCUCUGCAGAGAAGGUGAGGAAGUAUGGGCUUCCGGCCCACAAUAAUAUAAAUAAAAUUCAUUCAACUAUUUUAAAGUCUCUUUAGUAUAGUGGUGUAAAUCAUCUAACUAUAACCUAAAAAAUAUGAAUUCCUCUUUCUAAUGUUCCUAGCACCUAAUAACCCUUCAAAACCUCCAUGCUUACUAUACCACCUUUGCCCCUAAACAUAUAUGUCUCUUUUCAAAAUCCAUCGAUUUUACACCAUCGAAAAAAAUUUAUACUUGGAUGUACGAUAUGGGAAGAUAAAGAUAAGUUUACCCAUUGGACCAUAUUUAAUACCACUUUCGAGUGUGCUUCAGACAAAUGAAACAAUUCUGAAUCAGCUACUUUAAUGUCUUAGGAUCCUGUCAAUGUUACUACAUAAUUUAUCAUUCCAAUUUUUCUAGAUAAACCAGAAAAUUCAUGAGAAUUUAUUUUGAUCAUCAACAUAAAUUAUUCUUCAAAACAAAUAAUUCAUAUUUGUGAAGAUUGAUUAUGUUGGAAAAACUGUAGGAUUCAAUGGAAUAUUGUUGGAUAAUGCCCAUUACUGCUUAGAUGGAGGACAAUUAGACAAUACAUGAUUAAUUGUCUCGUCCUCCAGCCAUAUCUCACACAGUGUGUCUUGCAAUUUAUCCCUCUCCCCAUAAAGAUUUUGCUUCAUGAAGACAACUUGAAAGAGCUUACCAAAUAAAGUGUCUCAAUUUUGGUGAGUAUUUUAGUUAUUAUUUUUUAUUUUAUUUUUUUGCUACAAAUGUAAAUAUCAAAUUGAAGGAAAAGUUUGAUUACUCUUUAAGUAAAUCGAUAAAACUGCAUCACCUAGGUAAACAAGUUUAAAAACAAGGUGAGACAAGAUAGGCAAAAGAUAAAUGUUUAAAUAACAUAAAAAUUUGUUUUUUUGUCAUCAACUAGAACAUACUCAAACUGACUCUGUAAACCAAAUUGGUAACUUCGCAUCCAUGUGAACGACGACUCUGUAAACCAAACUGGUAACUUCGCAUCCAUGUGAACGACGAAAGACUAUUGCUUCCUGGCACUACGUGCUAGACUAUCUUGACACAAGUUCCUCAUACACUCCAUUGCCCAAACUAAAGCCUCGAUCUCUGAAUAAAGAGGAGAUAAACUAGCCCUUACAUUUCUUGCCCCCAUCAAACCAUCAAAACUUUCUAAUGAGCUAUACCAUCUUUGACCUGAAAAAAACCUCAUUUUCUCUCCAAGAGCCAUCUGAAAAGCACCAUCACCCUAGGAUUGGUGACAUAGUCAUAGCCUCUACAGGUCGUGUCCCCCUCUGUAUGUUCAACACUUGUGCUUCAGUCCAAAAUAUUGAUUUUGUUUCUGCCAAUUUUAACGUAUUCCGAGGAUUAAUGUCUAGAUUGCUGAAAGCUUUGUUGUUCUUUCCUUUACAAUUAUACCAUAGAAUCCAUGCAAACUGAUCAUCAUCCAUUUGUUGAUAUACUCUCCAGAAUAAGUGAUCUAUAUUUGUAAAUAAAGCAGCAGUAGGGAAGAUAGUUGGAUUAGAUGGUAUUUUUGAAAGGGCCUAAAUUUGAUGCGUUGGAAUACACUCAAAAAAUACAUGGUUUAUUGAUUCUUCUGGAACUCCACAUAUGGCACAACAUAUAUCCCCUUAGAAACCUCUCGUUCCAGAUUUUUCUUGACUGCUACACAUCCUGACACCAAUUGCCACAAGAAAUGUUUUAUUUUAGGUGGACACCGUAUUUUCUAGUAAAACGCUUUUAAUGAAUCAACUGUGGGUCCAACCAUAAAAAAUGUUAUUUUAGGACAAAUUCAACAUUCAAGAUUAAAGCCAUCAUUAUAUUUUUUUUCUCUCGAUGUUCUUGGCCUAAAAAGAUAUUGUUUAUAAGAAGAAAUUGAGUACCCUGAAAAAGUUUUUUUUGUUUUAUUUUAAAUAGACCUAGGCCAAAAGUUUGUCUAAUUUAUUAAUUUAGGGUUCUAUUUUUAUUUAUCAUUAACAAGUCAUAGUAUGACCAUUUAAAGAAUUAGUUAAUAUGACAUAUUUGAUUAUUUACAUUAAUAAUAAAUGAACUAUAAAUUUGAAUUUUAUUUUUUAAAUUAUAGCAAAAUCGAUUGAGAAGGAAUCUACAACAUCUUACUUAAAAUUUUAAAUAUUUAUAAAAUAACAUAUUAAUUAAUUUUUUAAUUAGUUAUAUAAUAUUUCUAUAAAUCAAUAUUAACUAAAAUUUUAUUAUAAAGCAAGAAAAUAAAAAUUAUAUACUCAUUUAUAAAUUUUAUAAUUAUAUUCUGUAUUAUAUAAAAAUGGAAGUGCUAUAUGAAUUAAAUAUGACAGAAUUAUAUUAAAUAGAUAAAUUAGGGGAAUUUUUUUAAAAUUGUUUCAUUCAAAUAAAUUAUCAAUCAUCAUUAAAAUGGCUUAAAAUUCAUAAAAUAUAUAAUAUUUUAUACAAAAAUAAACUUAUUAACAGAAACUUUGCAUGAUAUCGACAACUAUAUAUUAUCUUUUUAUUUAUUUUGAAAUUAUCAACAAUAUAUUGUUUAAAAUGUUUAUAUACAAAAAUAUAAUAGUAUAAAAUAACAUUUAGUUCAUAUACCAUUAAAAAAUGUAUGAUUAUAAAACUAUGAAAUUUUAGUAAUUCAUUUAAAAUAUUAAUGACAAAUCAAAUUUUAAUUAUAAUUUUUUUAGUUAUAACAAAAUCUGUUGAGAACAUUUUAGAAAAUAUUACCAAAAAUUCAGAUAUUUUUUUUAUAAAUAAUUUAUUAAUGUAUAACAAAAACAAAUUCAAAAUUCAUGUAAUCUUCCAAACUCAAAAAUAGUAGUGUAAUUUUUUUUAAGUUUUUUUGACAAAAUAUAAAAUUUUGAAAAUAAAAUCAUAGAUAAUAAAGAAUAACCUUUUGAAAUGCACCAUGAAAAAACAAACUAUAUAUGUUGUAAAAAUUAAAGCAAUAUAAUAUUUUGAAGUCUUAAUUUAAAAAAGAAACUUAAUAUCAUAAUAUCCAAAAACAUAUUCUAAAAUAAAAUUUACUAAAAUAAUAUGAUAGAUGCUACAAUGUAUAAAAUUUACUAAAAUGGUAGGGGUGUAUUAUUUAAACAAAACAAUGUUUUUACUUGUAAUUCCUGUAAAAUACUAAAAUAAUAUAUGUUAAAGUAUAAUAUAGAUCCACCGUAAUGGAUCUUGACUUUGAUUUAUAGUUGGUUGAUCAUUACAUAUAUUAACAAAACAAAACGAACAAAUGAACAAACAUCAAACCAUAGUGAGAUUUUUCAUCUUCCAAGCAGAAUUUGAUCUGGUUUAUGUUUUCCUUUUUUUAGCACGAGGUCAAACUUUCUAAUAUGGUCGUAAAGGGAGUUCAGUAAUUUGCUUUUAUAUAAAGAUCAUAUUUUCACCGAAAAUCCAGUCGAAAUUGAUGAUUUUCACUAUUAAUCAUUAACGCAAUCUAAUAUUUUAAUGCAUAUGGGAUUCGUCAAAUCAAAUAUGUCUCCCGCGUAACGCUAGGUUUAUGAACAACGCAUGUGUCAAUAAUCUUGGCUUGUGGACGGAGACCAACCUCCAUGAUAUCAUCGCAAUAUCGAAAUUUAAAUAAUAAAACAAAGCAAAAGCAAUAAACUCGUGGCAAAUAUUAAAAUAUAUUAUCCUAACAUUGCAUAAGUACACAAAGCUAGCAUGACUUAAACUUGCAGACCAACUCUUCCAGCUAAAAGAAUUUUGACAAUCAAACCACAAACAAAGAAAACAAAAAUGUGUACCACUGAAAACUAUUUUGUUUUGGAUCCGCGAGGAGCCACCUUCUCGGAUCUAAUACGUCUUCUCUUCUCCUCAGAUCUCAGGAAUAGAAGGUUCAUACACUCUUCUGAAGAUAGGCUUGAAGAUAAUGAUCCUUGCAAGUUCCGGAGAAGAUGGAUCAUCUUUGUAUCCAUCGUGAUUCAAAAACUCAUGAUUCUCCUAAGGAAACCUCUCUACUUUUUCGGAUUCUCUCUUGGUUUUUGGUUCAACCUUCUUUAUAUCAAUGGUGGCUUCUUCAUGAUUCUCCCAAAUCUUUUCAAAGGUAUGGUUUUCUUUUGACUUUCUUGUAUUUAAUCAAUUAAUAUAAGUUCGUAAAUACAUCAAAAUCAAAUACAAUGGGAAACACGUAUAUUAUUUAAAUCCUAUAAAAUAUUCUUUUGUUUUUGUAAUAAUUUUUUUUUUUUUUUUUUUUUUUUUUUUUUUUUUUUUUUUAAGAAACAUCGUCGACAUUUGCAUCUCUAAACGGAAACCUAGACGGGCGAGUAGAGUUAGACGGGAGAAUAGAGAGAGGAAGUAAAAGAUACAAAGCAAUGUUGUCAAUCAUGGCUUCUAAGCUUUCUUACGAGAACAUUAACUUUGUCAGCUCUGUCCUUCACAACCAUUGGAAGGUUUUAUUAAUUAACUCUUUCAUUUCUAUUAACAAUCUUAUUUAUUAGUAUAAAUUAAGAACAUAUAACAGAUACUAUUUUUUGGUUUAGUCAAGAACAGUAUCAAAUGAAUAUAAUUUAAACGUACAUGCAUCAAAUUAGUAAAAUAAUUAGUUGGACUUGGAGUAUUAAAUUAGAUAAAAUAUUUUUUGGUAUUGAGAAACUUAUUAAAAUCUAGUUGGUGUAUUUUAUAGGUUUUGCCAAAAGUAAUUUUAUAAUUUUUUCUUCUAACAAUAUAAUUUCAAAGUAAUUUCCUUAUAGUCUAGUUUUUUCCUUGUUGAGUAAGUAAAAUGUUCAUAUAAAAAUACGGAAACUGACGUAGCUAGACUGUCAUUUAGCUCUAUCUUUAUUUCGUCGAAUUAUUAAAACGUAUCUUUAAGUUAUAAGCAUGAUCAUGCAUGAUUUUCUUUGAUUAAAAUAACAACAAAAUCAAAUCCUAUUGAUUAUGUGUUGGACUUAUAAUCACAAUUUUUAUUAUAUUCCUGAUACAGAUGGACCUGUUGGGGUUCUACAGCUGUUGGAAUGGUGAGAAUGCUGUCCUUUUUUUAUUAAUGAAUAAUGAUAAUACAUAUAAUUAAGUAAAUUAACUGCGUUGGUCCAAAAAGGCAAUACCAUGUGAAAUAUGCGGAUUUUCUUGUAUUGUUUCUUACCAAAAUGAACUUGAUUCCAAUAAUAAUUGGCGACAUCACACGCGAAGUCUCUAGUAAUUUAAUCUUUUAAACCAAUUUAAUCUUUUAAACUAGUUUCAUCCAAUUCCAAAUGACUUCAAAGAAAAUAUUUAAUUCAUUGCUAUACAUGUCUUUAAUCACAGUCUCUCUCAAUUCUAUAGGAUCAUAUAUACCUUAACAUCCCCAUAAAUUAUAGGAUCUUGAAUUCAUUUGUACUUGUAUCGAAUAUAAAGAAGUUUGCUGACAAAUAUUUACAUGAUUUUUGUAGUAACACAUUCUUCAUUGGGUUUUCUCAGGUUACCAGGAACAGAGGUCAACGGAGGUGCUUGUCAUAAAGGACGCAAGCACAGAUCCAAACCUCAUCGUUGUCAGUUUCAGAGGGACUGAUCCUUUCGACGCGUACGAUUGGUGUACCGAUUUGGAUCUCUCAUGGUGAUUUAUUUUUUGUUUUGUUUUAAUUUGAUUAAAGUCUUCAUUGAUUAGUUUUCUUUAGGUUGGAUAUUAAUUAAUCGGGUUAUGCUAACCGCUCUCUAAGUAUAGGUACGAAAUUAAGAAUGUGGGAAAGAUCCAUGGAGGAUUCAUGAAAGCUUUAGGACUUCAAAAAGAAGGAGGAUGGCCUAAAGAAGUGAACGUUGAUCAAACCCAAAAAGAAACAACUCAAUAUGCAUACUAUACUAUUAAGAGUCACUUAAUAGAGAUUCUCAAUCAAAAUCCGAAAUCCAAAUUUAUUCUGACCGGACAUAGCCUAGGUGGAGCCCUAGCAGUCCUGUUUACGGGAGUGUUGAUGAUGCAUGAGGAAGAGCAAAUGCUAGACAAGCUCGAAGGAGUUUACACAUUUGGCCAGCCACGUGUAGGAGACGAGGAGUUUGGAAAGUUCAUGAAAGAUUCGCUGAAGAAGUAUGAGGUCAAUUACGAAAGAUACGUUUAUUGCAACGACAUGGUUCCUCGGUUACCUUUUGACGACAAGACACUUAUGUUCAAACACUUUGGGGCAUGCCGUUACUAUGACAGUUUCUAUAGAGGAAAGGUAAGUUAUAACUUAUAAACCAUCUAAUGUUCUUUUAUUUUCUUAAAUUUAGUCACUCAUAUGAUAUGAGAUGGAUACAGUUUUUGUUGUGUCUUGUUUCGCACAUGUUCGUAAAGUUCUUUCUCAGAUGAGAAUGUACUUUUGGUCGGGACAUGACUUGAUAUCUCGGAAAUAGGAGUGGACGGACUACGGAGAACUAGAUGAUUUAUAUUUUAUAAUUUUAUUUAAUAUAUCCUUUCUGUUUUGUUUCGCAUGGAUUUUCAUUUAGUUGUUUCCCCUACUGAUCUGUCUUCAUUGCUAUUGUGUAAUAAUGUGUUCAGAUAGAAGAAGAGGAGCCUAACAAAAACUACUUCAAUAUCUUAUGGGCCAUACCGAAGAUUAUGAAUUCAGUUUGGGAGAUGAUUAGGAGUUUCAUCAUACCUUAUUGGAAAGGUGAAGAAUACAGAGAAGGAUGGUUCUUGAAGUGUUAUAGGGUUCUCGGAUUGUUAAUUCCGGGAAUACCUGCUCACGCUCCUAAUGAAUACGUCAAUGUCACACUUUUGGGAAACUUAUUUGACUCGCACCAUGACUAGAAUUUGGUGUGCAUCGUUUCCAAAUUCUUUGUAUAAUUUACUUUCGUUCAACUUUGAAUAAAUAUAUGAAGAUAAUGAAGGAGUAAUAAAACGGAUAUAAACGUAUAUAUAGGCUGGAGAAUGUCUACAGAAGGUACAACAUUCACAAAUGAAAACUCAAAGAUAAUAUUCUUCACUUGACUUAAAAAGUUGGAUAGUUUCAUUUUAUGAUUUUUCUUUUAAGAUGACUUUAGCUUAAUCUUGAUUUUACCCUAUCCAAUAUGAUAAAUUUCUCAACUAAUUUUUAGUUUUUAUUUACAAAGAUUGUGUGAGAAUUUUUUUAAUCAUAACACAAAAAGCUUAAUACACAUAACUCGUGUAACAUUUAUUUAUUUAUUAUUUUAAUUGUUAAAUUUACCAAGUUUUUUUUGUGCCGACCCGGAUUAUGUAUUUUAAUUGGUUAUUUUCCAAAAUUUACUACUAUUUGAAAUUGUUUUGUUCUAAUUUGUAUUUUACUUACUACUAUUUUAUAAAGUUUAGAUAGAUAGAGAUUUAUUCUGUAUCAAUAACUUUGAGAUACUAGAGUGGACUUGCAUCGUGCGACUUUUAUACUGGGCUGGUGAAAUUAGCUUUUGUUCAUCACUUAUUUUGUCUACUUUACCAUCAAGAAACAUGUUUUGUAUUUGUAUCAGACAUGCGCAAUCCUAAAUCUCUUACAAUAAGUCUUGUUCCAUAGAACAAACCAUCCUUUUUAUUGAUGCUCUUAAUAAGAUCGGCAUUCNNNNNNNNNNNNNNNNNNNNNNNNNNNNNNNNNNNNNNNNNNNNNNNNNNNNNNNNNNNNNNNNNNNNNNNNNNNNNNNNNNNNNNNNNNNAAAAAAAAAAAAAAAAAAAGAUUGCUUGUCUUAAUUCUUAAAAAACGCGGAGAGUCUGAGCUUUACAAAAAAUUAGUUGUUUUCUUGCACUAUGUGUAGUGAUAAAUUUUUAAAAGUUAAAUUAUAUUUAAAAUAAAAUUUAUUAAUAUUAAAUAUUUUAUUAUUUUUUACUAAUAUUUAAUAUAAAGUUGAUUAUUUAACUAUAAAAUUAAGAAAAAAAUAUUCUUUUUUAAAUUUAAUAAUAUAUAUGCAAUAUAUUUAAAAUUUGAAUCUUAGAUAAACUUUUUAUCUAUUUAUUUUGGUUAAAUGUAUUAAAUCAACUUGUAUAAAAUUUACUAAAAAAUCAUAUAAAAAUUGUAUAGUUAUUAAAAAUUAUAACUAAAUAAUAUUUAUAAAAUUUGUAGAUAUCUAAAAGAAACUAAUGAAAUUACGAUUAACAAUUAUUAAUAUUUUUAAAAAGAUGUAGAAGAUUUUGAAAAUAUUAGUAAUAAAAAUUGUAUAAUUAUAAAAAUACAAUUAAAUAAUGUAUUUCGAAAUUUAUAAUGCAUAUUUCAAUAUAUUUAUUUUAGUGAUGAUUUAUGAAUUAUUACCAUAUUUUAAGAAGUUUACCAAAAAUAUAAAUCAACAUUAAAUGUAAUAUAUUAGUUAUUGUCAUAUUCUAUAAAGUUUACCAAAAAUAUAUGUCAGUAAUAAAUGUGAUUGUUCAUGUCAUAUUAACUAAAAGCCAUGUCAUCAAUCUUGUCAGCUAUGUUAUUAUUGUUUUUGUAAAAAUGAUUGUAAAGAGAAUAUGUGGCAAAAUCGAUUCGCAAAUAUAGUCUAGGAGAUUGUGGAGAAAAUAUCUUUGAUAUCUAAGAAAAAGAUCUAAAGAGGUUUGAUUCCGCCAAAUUGACCGGUGAUGACGUGGCAGCAUAACCACGUGUAAAAGCGUACUGUUCUUUUGUCGACUUUUUUCAUAUGAGAUAUUUUUCCUCCUCUCUCACAACAAGAUAGAUAGCCAAUGGCUGGUGAUUACAGAGGGAACUAUAUCCGUAGCUCUGACCAUGCUUCUUCUGUAGAGGAAGACACGCCUUCUUCUAUGGUAUAUAUUUCAAAUAUUACUGAUUCCUUUUCGCCUUUUAAAGAUCUGAUUACACAGUAGUUUGUAUAUAUAAUUGAUGUUUCCACAUGUUUCAGUAUUCCUCGGGAAAAGAGUGUAUGCCUACAGAAUGGACCGAUGAGAAGCAUAGCUUGUAUCUUAAAUCAAUGGAAGCUUCAUUCAUAGACCAGCUUUACAGCUCCCUCGGUUCAAAUUUGAGUAAGGAGAACGUAGGAGGAAACCCAUCUGAUGAACAGGUGUGAAUGAGACGUUUACCUCUGUUUUUUGUUUCUUCCAUAUAGCUUGUGUGAUUGGAUCAUCGAAAUUUAGUCUUUGUAUGUAUUGUUUUUGCUAUUUGUUCAAGGUUCUUCGUGAUGGUGGUUUCUGGCAGAAGUUGAAUGUAAGACAACCUGAGUAUCGUCUCAAAGGAAGACACGGUGGUGGUUCUCCUCAUGAGUUUCUUAGGAGUCCAUGGAUAAAGCACUAUAAGUCUUUACCAAAGACUCAAGUGGUUAGCUCGAAGGGUUUAGUCAUAUGCAGCUCUGGUUCAGCGUCUGAUCUCAAGAACAUGCUACGAGAAGGCUGCUCUCAUUUACAUGACCGGGAUCAAAUCAGCAUAGGAGAAGAAGAAGGUAUUAGUUUUUUCUAUCGCUCUCUUCAAAUAUAUAGUGUUAUUGUAGAUUUGUAUAAUCAUUUGUUUCCUAUUUGGCUAAUUUUUUCCUACAGAAGAGGCAUCUGACCAGAACUUUGUCAACGAAGUAACAAAAGGGGAAAAUGGAAGCUCCAAGAAGAUGAAGACAGUGAUGAGCGGAUCAUCGAGUACUGAUCAGGUGAACUUUCACCAAUUAGUUUGAUCAUAGCUGUAAAUGUGAUCAAGUUAUUGAUCUAAUGUUAUCGUCUUGUUCCUUGGCAUGUAUAUAGGUUGUUCCACUCAGAAAAACUCGUGCAGACAUGACGUAAACUGAAGUCUAUUUAUGAAAAGGUCGUUACAACUGGGUAUGUGAGGAGUGUUUUGUAAUGUAUAGACUAUAGAGUAAAAAAAGUCAACCCCCCAUGGUUAGUUGCAUGUGUCUUCAUCAUAUAUCCCCCUAACUAUAAACAUAUUGUAUGCUCGUGUGAGUGGCCUUCAUAUGUAAUAUAAACCUUAAAUUUGCAUCAAGUUGUUUUUGAUUAUUUAUUGUUACUAAUAGUGCCGGAAGUAUAGUGUAUAUGAUUUUGAACUUCCAUAUUAGUCUACAAGAAUCACUUUGAAAGUUAAAAGUAAUCGUUAUAGCAAAUUAAGUUCCACACUUUUACCAAAAAAAAAAAGUUUUUGCACAUUGACAAGUUGUACAGUACCGUCUCUUUAACGUCACACAAAUAAUUUCUACUAGAUUUUGACUCGCGCUUCAAAAACACAUAUUUACUUUUUAGAAACAAAUUAAUACUUCUUAUAUGAAUUUCCAUAUAAGAUAGAGUAUCUGGACAAAUAUAUCCGGAAUCGAAGAACGAAAUUGUGCCAGACCAAAAUAUCAAAACCAAAAUUAAAACGAAUUUUAUAAAUAAUCCACCAAAUCCUAUAUUUUUGGAAUAAAAAACUGAACUGGAUCCAAAUCAAAAACCGAAUGGGUAUCCAAAAUUUUAAAAUACAAAUUAUAAAGGGAGAAUUUGUAUGAUAACCAUAGUGGAAGAAAAAAUAAGAAUAUAGCCAUAUAUCGAUAAGUGUGAUAAUUUGGUAUCAAAGUGGACCAAUCUCUCCUUUUCGGCGCGUGAUUAUUUGAAUGAAUUGUGUAAUAUUGUGCUAUACUAUAUUUGACAAUCAAGUCACAACAAUAACAUAUCACAAUGAAGAAAAUUAAAAACAAGUGGGAGAAUGCGAGAAAAAAUAAAAGCAAGACAUAAAAGAAGAAACAAAAAAUUGUUGUUCUGAAUAUAGAGAGGAAGGAUGGAGAGAGACAGGGAAAGAAAAAGAGAGCAAGAGACGAUAUUGUAUAUUAAUUAUCUAUUCUAUGUUUCUAAAUAGUUUGGAACACAACAAAAUUGUGUCUUAUUUGAAAACAAAAUCUGACUAUACUAUAUAUAUUUCUAUGAUAAUAUAGAUUUAAAGUCGUUUUUAUGGAAUAUUGUAAAAAAAAUUGAAAAAUAUAUGUUUGUUUUGAAGGUUUCGAAACGUAUUAUGUGUAAAAAAAAUCUAUGUCUUUAUUAUGUUAAAUUCAAAGUUUAAUAAUUGUUCUAACAGAAAUUAAAAGCAAUUAAAAGUAGAAAGGAAAAACAUAUUUAUAAGAAUAAAAAAAGUGUAUGUCAAAGGUAAUAUGGCAAUUAUUAUACAAAUAUCAUAACCUAAGUUAUCUUAUGGCUAUAUGCUUAAUUUUAUGAUCUUUUAUAGACAUGAACCCAAAUUUCCCAAUUAUAAACCUAAAAAUAUUAAAUUAAACUUAAUUUCUAUAUAACGAAAUAUCUUAAAAUACUCUUUAUAAACCGAAUUACCCAAAAACUAAAUUACACAAAUAUGUUUUUAUCUAAAAUAUUAAAAUUUAUCCAAGUUAUUUGAUAUUUUUAUCCGAACAAACCGAUUUACCUGCUAUUUAAACUAAUCCACCAAAUCCUAUAUUUUUGGAAUAAAAAAACUGAACUGGAUCCAAAUCAAAAACCGAAUGGGUAUCCAAAAUUUUAAAAUACAAAUUAUAAAGGGAGAAUUUGUAUGAUAACCAUAGUGGAAGAAAAAAUAAGAAUAUAGCCAUAUAUCGAUAAGUGUGAUAAUUUGGUAUCAAAGUGGACCAAUCUCUCCUUUUCGGCGCGUGAUUAUUUGAAUGAAUUGUGUAAUAUUGUGCUAUACUAUAUUUGACAAUCAAGUCACAACAAUAACAUAUCACAAUGAAGAAAAUUAAAAACAAGUGGGAGAAUGCGAGAAAAAAUAAAAGCAAGACAUAAAAGAAGAAACAAAAAAUUGUUGUUCUGAAUAUAGAGAGGAAGGAUGGAGAGAGACAGGGAAAGAAAAAGAGAGCAAGAGACGAUAUUGUAUAUUAAUUAUCUAUUCUAUGUUUCUAAAUAGUUUGGAACACAACAAAAUUGUGUCUUAUUUGAAAACAAAAUCUGACUAUACUAUAUAUAUUUCUAUGAUAAUAUAGAUUUAAAGUCGUUUUUAUGGAAUAUUGUAAAAAAAAUUGAAAAAUAUAUGUUUGUUUUGAAGGUUUCGAAACGUAUUAUGUGUAAAAAAAAUCUAUGUCUUUAUUAUGUUAAAUUCAAAGUUUAAUAAUUGCUCUAACAGAAAUUAAAAGCAAUUAAAAGUAGAAAGGAAAAACAUAUUUAUAAGAAUAAAAAAAGUGUAUGUCAAAGGUAAUAUGGCAAUUAUUAUACAAAUAUCAUAACCUAAGUUAUCUUAUGGCUAUAUGCUUAAUUUUAUGAUCUUUUAUAGACAUGAACCCAAAUUUCCCAAUUAUAAACCUAAAAAUAUUAAAUUAAACUUAAUUUCUAUAUAACGAAAUAUCUUAAAAUACUCUUUAUAAACCGAAUUACCCAAAAACUAAAUUACACAAAUAUGUUUUUAUCUAAAAUAUUAAAAUUUAUCCAAGUUAUUUGAUAUUUUUAUCCGAACAAACCGACCAAAAUAACCAAACCGAACUUUGUAAAUAUUUGAAUUGCUAAAUUUAAUGGUUCCUAAAUAUAAAGAACUGAAAAACCAAAAAAAAAAAACCCGAACAUAAACUGAAUGUUGAGGCGGAAUUGUUUAUCUACAUUUAAAUGAUGCGAUUACAAAUUAUUUAUUUCCUUUUAGUGGAGUACAUAAAUAAAUUAAGAUAUUUUGUACAUAACAUUAUUUUGAUAGAUCAAUAAAUUUGAAAUUUCAUCAAAAAAAAAAAUUAAGAUAUAAGAAUUGUUUUCGUAUUCGACUCAAACUCGAAGUCAAAUUGGUAAACCUGAUGAUCCAUAUAUAAUCCGGUUCAGAUUUAAUAAAAAAAUAUUAAUUAAAAAUUUGAGAAAGCCUAAAAAUCCACCUUUAACUUGUGACUUGAUAUGAUGCUGGUCGACCUAGUAAAAACCCAGAAAAAACAAUAUUUAAAAAAAAAUUGAUUUACUUUUUAAUAAAUACAUUAAAAUUGAAGAAAAUAGUUUAUCAAGUUUUUAAUUAGCUUAGCUUGAUUUAGUAUGUAGUCAUACACUUAUUGUAAAUAAAGAUUGGUAGGCUGUUACUACUGAAUUUAAUAAAUAUCUGAAAUGAGUAAGCAACCCGAUUUUGUAUUUUGUAAUCGUAACUAAACCAAACCUACCAAUUUUUGUUUUGAUUUUUAGUGUAUCGAUAUAUGGUAGGCGAUUCUGUAGGUAAAGGGAAAAAAAAUCAAAUGAUCACUUUGCCAUUAAUAUGUGUGCUAUUAGUAAUAAUAUUGUACUAGGAUAAAAACUGCGCUUUAUAAAAAUUAUUUAAGAAAUAUUGUAUGGAAAAAUUAAAUUUAUAUUCCUGAUCUAAUAAAUUAUUUUGUUAAUUAAAUAAUUUAUUUAUUGAUGAGCUGAUCCCAUUUUUUAAAAUAUUUUAGGUCAAAAAAUCACUUAUCGCAUAAGAACCAAACGUUUAGGCCGAAAAAUCUCAGACUUACAAUUUGGUUACAACGAAACUAUGUCACCUUGGUUUUAUAUCAUGAUUUAGCAAUUUAAAAGUUAAUUAUGGUUAUGAGAAGUUCAUGUGCCAAUCAUAUCUAUUUUCAAUAUUUUUUUUCAUUUUUGUGUCGUUUUUUUUCAUUUUGGUUAUUUCUCGAUAUAAAUAUUGACUUUGAGUUUAUUCUCAUUUCGUUAUUUUGUUUUGGUCUACGAUUUAGAAAAUGUUUGAGAUUUAAAAUUAUUAAAAAGAUACAAAGUUAUGUUAAGAUCUGCGCCUUGUGCAGAAUAAAUAUUUUAUAUUUAUUACUUAUUUUAUGUUUUUUGCAUAUUAUGAAAUAAUAAAAUAAUAAUUAUAUAUUAAAUAACUAUGAAAUCAGUUACUAUUAUGUAAUAAAUUGGCAUGCGCAUAUAAAUCAAACGACCGCUCUUGUUUAUUAGCAAUCAUUUAUUGUAAAUAAAUCAAAACAAUUAAUCUUAUCUAUCGUAUACGAUAUAUAAUUAAAUUUAAGUGAUAUUAACAUAGAUAUAUCGUAUACAUAGAUUUACAUAAAUUAAUACGGAUAUUUAUUAAAUGAGGUUUUUACUCAUAUGAUUUUAUGAUUAUUUGUAUAAAAAUAUUUUACACCAACCAUUUUUGUAAUGUGGAAUAUUUAGUGGUUUCAAUAAUUUAUAAUCAUUUAAAAAAAAGCGUUUUGAAAAUUUCAAAAUACAACAUAUACAAAAAAGUCUAAAUUUUUAUCUUAUGAUUAAUGUAAUUGUGUAAUUUAUUUUAUUAAUAAAUAAUUAAACAAAAAUGAUUGAAAUUAUAUAGAUUGUUUGCAAAUCUUUAUUAUUUAAAAUCAUUAAUUGCCAUAUAUAUCUUAAUCAUAUUACAUAAUUCUGUAGGUUUUAUUUAAGGAAAAAAUAUAUAAUAAUUUCAAUUUUGAUAAAUGAAUGGUUCAUAAUGGACAUACUAUAUAAUAUAACAUUUCUUAACAAUUUAGUUUUGAACUAACAAAACUAUCAAUUGAUUUUCAAGUCGCCACGUAAGCAAAAUUAACAUUUUUAUUACGUGACAACUCAGCAUGACAUUUUUUUAAUUAGUACAAAUUACAAGUUAUAACUUUUUAAAUGUUUCUCUAUUAUUAAUAUAUAUGGCAUAGAUAGAGAGAUAAAUAAGGUAAGACUACAAAUUAAUUAGCUAAUGAAUAGGUCCAACAACUUUGUAUAAGUAGAUUUUUUAGAAUUUUUCCCUUUUAAUAGAUAGAUAGAUAGAUUGAGUCAUGAAUUCCGAUAUGUUACUGUAAAUUCCGUCUUGAAUUCUCGUUGAAAACUCCUUAUCAAAGAACUUGACUACCACAGUACGUGAUUAGUUGAAAGUUGAAACACGGCUGUUAGGGGUAACCGGCUCCCUUUGUAACCAUAUACCAUUGCUUUGCUUAUCCACAGACUAGAAGUUGGGACAAGGACCCUGUUCAGCAAGAAGAUUACCACAAAUGCGAUCGCAUCUAGUUUAUCGUGUGAUGUGUUUUUCUCUAACUAGAACACUUUCUUUUGCCUCUUCUUUUUUCUUAUUUUGCUUUUUGUUUGGUGUGUUAUGAGCUUUUAAAGCGAACGUUGCUAGGGUGUGGACUGCAUGCAUGAUGCAUGCUAACUUGGAAAUUUACUAAAAUAGUGGAUUACAAAUACUAAUUUUAAUUCGUUGAUAUUUAUGUACUUAUAUGAGCUACAUAUGAGAAACAAACUUUUAAUGUUAUAGUCUUUCUACGAGAUUAUAGGGUUUAUUAAACCUUUUGAAAUUUUGUGGGUUGAAGAGAAAAAAAACACAACGAUUCACCAAUUUAAGGGCUUCCAAAUUCGUCAAUUUUGAGGCAAGCUCAAUAAGGUAAACGAAGAAAUUUAUAGAAUAUUUAAUUUUGUGGCUAUUUGUACUUAUAAGUUCAUGCCAAAUUGUCUCUUCAAUAAUAUCAGUACCAGUUGAAUAUACCAACACCAUGGUAAAAUACUACAAGGACAAAUAUUCUUAUUUGUACCUACUGGGCAAAAUAACCGGAACCGAAGAACCGAACCAAAACUGAACCGAAAUACCCGAAACCGGAAUCGAACCAAUACCUUCAGAUCCCCUAACGGUUCCUAUAUUUUUAUAUCCAAAAUAACCGAACCGAACCGAGAACCAAACGGGUACCCGAAUAUAUAAAAAUAUUAAUUAUAUAUACAUAUAACAUCACUAAAUAUAUAUUUUUAAUUUAAAAUUAUAUUAAAAGUAUCUGAAAAUAGUUGAGGAUAACUAAAUUAUUAUAAAGUAUCCAAGCUAUCCGAAAGUAUCUGAAACUAUCCGGAUAGUUUUAUCCGAAAUAUCCAAAGUAAUCCGAAAUGUCCAAUUUUUUUUAUCUAAAUCAUCCUAAUUAUUUGAUAUUUUACCCUAAAUAACUGAUAUUUUAUCCAAAUUAUCCGAACUACCCGAACUAUCCAAACUUGAACCGGAUCUAAAUGAGAACCGAACUUUUUCCGAAUAUUUUAUGGUUCUUACUAUUACUAUCCGAACCGAACCUGAAACUAUCCGAACCAAACCGAAAAUAGGUCAAGUACUAAAUAGAUUUUCUAGCCCCUAUCCGAACUACCUGAAACCUGAAAUAUCUGAAUCGAACCGAACCAAUAUCCAAAAUGCCCAGGCCUAGUACUUAUGGAUCACCACGAGUGUGAGUCUCUUAACAUGAGUCUCUCACAUGUACUUAUUAUUUCACUUUUAAUUUUAAACCGAAAAUGAUUUUUUUAAUAAAAUUUGUAUGAAUUUUAAUUAAUUCAAACAAAAGUAAAUUAAUUACUAUCCACUCUAUAAUGGUAAAAAUUAGUAAACUAUAUAAUAUAUUCACACAAAAUAUAAAUUGAUCAGCAUAUUCUACACUUUAAAUUCUACAACUAUAUACUAUAUAAAGUAAAUUAAAAAUAUUAAUUAUUUUUUAUCAAAAAUAAUUUGAUGUUUUUAAAACGCGGUUAGAAAUAAGUAUUUUCAGAAGGAAAUAAACAUUUUCGGCUAUAAAAGCAUUAAACCAGCGCUGUGUAGAAACCGGUUAAAUAUAAACCAAAAGUCAAUCGAGAUUCUCAGUGGAAAACCAAAGGAAUCAGAGAGAUAAAACUUGUGGGAACCAACCGAAGUCUGAAUCUCGACCAGAUCAAAAGCAAACACAACGAGAAGUAGAACCUAAACCUUCUUUGGUAAGAUCCGAUCUUUGUCACACCCCUUUUCUAUUGUAUAUCUGUUAGAUCUUUAAUCGAUCUCCAUUGAGUAGUUCUCGCAGUUGUGAUUAUUCGUAAGAGGUUAAUUUCAAUUUCGUGUGGUAUCUAAAGUAGUUGGUGAGAUUCAGACAUGGCUCCUGUCGGUCCUCGUUCCGGUGAUGCCAUCUUCUCCAGCAUCGAUCGCGUGGUAAAAGUUCAGUUUUUUUAAGAAUCUCUUUCUCGUUGUAGAGACAUUGUUUGAUUCUCUUGGGAUUUGGAUAAAUUUUGUAGAACGCAGAGUUGUUCACGUUGACGUAUGGUGCAAUCGUGCGUCAAUUGCUUACUGACCUCGAAGAUGUCGACGAAGUCAACAAACAGCUUGAUCAAAUGUAAUUCUUCUUCUUCUUCUACGCUUUCUUUAGCUCAUAGCAUUUUACAAUUUGAUCGAAAGUUAGUUCCUUUAUUCAUAUGGCGCAGGGGAUACAACAUUGGAAUCAGACUUAUCGAUGAGUUUCUUGCCAAAUCUGGCGUUUCCAGAUGCGUUGAUUUCAAGGAAACUGCUGAAAUGAUUGCCAAGGUUUUUGCACUUUCAGUUCACUUACUUGUUCAUUAUAUAUCGUAUUAAGAAGCAGUAACAGGCUUUGUGUUUACUUACAUUAGGUGGGUUUCAAGAUGUUUCUGGGGGUCACUGCAUCAGUGUCAAGCUGGGAUGCGGAUGGGACUUGCUGCAGUAUAAUCUUGGAAGACAAUCCACUCGUUGAUUUCGUGGAGCUUCCCGCUACUUGCCAAGGCCUUUACUACUGCAACGUCCUAAGUGGAGUCAUUAGAGGCGCUUUGGAAAUGGUCAGUCUUCUUCUAUCUUCCAAAAAUUUUUUAGUUACAUCCAAAAUGUUAUGGCUGAGUGUUUUUUUUUUUGUAAUGGUUAUUUGUCUGAACAAUGAUCAGGUGUCAAUGAAGACAGAAGUGACAUGGACGCGUGAUGCUCUUCGAGGGGAUGAUGCAUAUGAGUUGCAGGUGAAGCUACUGAAGCAAGUCGCUGAGGAGUAUCCGUACAAGGAUGAUGAAUAAAUGGGCUCUUUCUCUAUCUUGCAUUCUUAGCUUCUUUGGCUCUUUUUCCUUCAAGAAACACCAACUUUAAGCUUUGAAAUUUAAUACUGUUUUAUGUUUGGCGCAAACCGAUUAAUCCAUUUCUUAGCUGAUUUAUAAAAAUCAAUGUGAGAAGAGUUGAGCGUAUCAAAAAUAUACUGACAUCAAAUAAUAUACAGAUCAAUUCAGUGGGGUCAGAGGUUAUAGAUUUUGUAUCAUAGCACGGAUUCCAACUCUGGAAUGUGCGUAUGUGACCGUUAACACACAAGAAAAAUGAGAGUGGGUAAAAAUUGAUGAGACAGAGAGAAGAGUUUCUCUAAUGAAUCUACUUCUCACAUGCACGGUAACUCACUCACUAACUCGAGACAAAUAGAAUAGUAUUGGACACUGUAAAGUAACAGUGGUGCAAAUAUAACUGUCAUUUAGCUAACUUUUUAAGCAAAUGUAAUAUUACUGAUAGAUAAAGUUAAUAGGUUUGAAGAUAAUUUUUAUCAUUUAUGAAAAAGUUAAUAGUCAAUUGAAGAUAGACAUGAGAAGGCAUGGGCGUUGGGAUGGUUAACACAUCGUAUACGAUGAACUCGUUUUAACUUCGGGUUCGGUUUGGAGUUCUUUGGGUUGGUUAACACAUCGUAUACGAUGAACUCGUUUUAAUUUCGGAUUCGGUCCUACAUCGUGUUUCAGUUACCCAAAUACUUGUUUAUGAUUCAAAAGUAUACCCUUUAGUUCACAAACUUAGCAUGUAUAAACAAUUUUUACUAAUAAAAACUUGGUGGAAUAAUUCAGAAGUAAUCUUUAAAAGGAAAAAAAACAUAAAUAAGUUAAAUUAGCAACUAACAACUCUAACAAAUAGGAAACAUAAUUUAAACUUCAAAAUAAAUCAACAUUGUUGAAGUUGAAUUUCAGACGCAAAUUUAUUCAUAACUUAACUUCAAAAACAACUGUCAAAACAUAUUUUUUUUUUAAUCUUUGACUAAAUACUUAAAUAUAUAUAUUAAUCUAAAUAUUGAGUUAAUUAUACAUUUAAUAGAUACUUACUUUAAUACUCAAUAGUAUUUAAGAAUAUUUUGGGUACUAAUUUGAGAUUGAGUUCGGGUUUGGUAUGCGUUUCUUUUGAAAUUUUGAAUUUCUUGGGUUUUUUUUUGAUAUUCAUUUGGGUUUUGCUUUAUAUAAAAUCAUAAUCCAAAAUAUCUUAGAAUAAAACAUAUUAGGUAUUUAUGUCGGAUUAAAUUCGGCAUGAUUUAUUUUAGUGGGUUCGGUUCAUUUCAGGCUUUCGGAUUCAAUUUAUUUUAAUUUGUUUAUUUUAUUUUAUGUCAUAUUAAUGUUUUAAUUUUUAAAAUUAAAACAUGAACUUUAAAAAUAUUUUCAAUUAUCUCCAAAAUCACAAUUGAUUUUUGUUUAAUCGUUGGUAACUGGUUUAAGAUUUGUCUACUUUUUUUUUUGUCAACUAAGAUUUGUCUACUUUUUUGAACUUAUAAAUUGUUUUGUUUAUUAUUUACUAGGGUCGGCCCGCCCUACGGGCGGGAUGUUAAUUUAGAAAUAAUUUAGAUUGUCUAGUUUUUUUUAUCUUUGGCUAAAACUGGUUGUUUUUAAAAUGUUUUGUUUUAUAUUAAAAUGAAUCAUUUUUUAAAAAUAGUUUUGUUUAUAUAAGUUAUGUUGUUAUAUUUGAAUCGUGUGUGUGUGUUUUUUUGUUAUAAAAUACUAAAAUGAAUCAUUUAAAAAAAAACAAUUUAAUGAAUCUAUAACUAUAUAUUUUAUUUUUAUGUAGUUGUGUUAUUAAUUAUUUUUUUUAUAUAUGGGUGUUGAUAAUAGGAAGAGGAUGAUAUUCGGUUACCUAAUUUUGACUCUUCCCGUAUAUAUUAUUUAUGUAAUUUAUUAAUGAUUAUUGAUCGUAAGUUCUCACCCUGUAGUUCUGUUUCUUGACAUCAGAAUAAGGGUAUAUUUUUUCUCAUAAGAAAAACUCGUAGUUUAAAUUAAGAGUCGUAUGCGGAGGAAAUGUAAAAAGAAAACAGAGUGAAGAGUCAAAAUAAUUGGGAUUAUAGUCUUGCAACUGAUGUUUUUGCCGAAGCAUUGGAUUGGAUGAUGAUUGUAGUCUUCGUGAAUUGUUUCCAAAACAUCCGAGCAGUAGGGCCGGUUGCUUUCACUGCAAGGAAUGAAAAGUUUCAGCACCAGUGCCAAGCAAUGGGUGUUGUCAGUUCUUGUGAUCGAAAUUAAGUUGAUAUGGAUGUACUAUCUUAGCGUAUAGAUCUAACCUGAGUUAUCUGAACAUCCUUGAAGAUCUCCUUAUAAACGUUGUUACUCGAGAGUCGAGACAUAGCAACGUACAACUGACCGUGAGUAAAAACAGGGCGAGGAAGAUAUAAAGCAACUUGUUUCAGACUUUGGCCUUGGCUCUUGUUGAUCGUCAUGGCGUAGCACGAUUCUUCUCCUCCGGAGGGUCAGUAACAGUACUCUUGACGCUAAGGAUCUCUCCUAUGAUGUCUACAUUCAGUUUAGUUCCGGUGUGAGUACAACAUGUCAUGUAUAAAGCCAAAUUACGUAAGAAGCCUUUAUUAAAGUACCUGGUAACUGUGUGCUUGUAUUGGCCAAACCAAUCAGCUCCGACUGGUCACGGAACCGGAAUGCUUCCUCAGGCAACGCAGAGACCGGCUCAUCUAUCUCGUCAAAAGAAGUAGACUCAUUAAACCGGAUCAUCAAUGAAGAAUCACAAAGUCGGAAGUUCUGAGCACAUCUAGCGACAUCAAAAUCAGCCAUGGAAUACAUUGCACCGGCAGUAAGUCUUUCUUGGUACCGUGGGACACGGUGAGCGCUGAUUGUGGCCUGCAUCAUGGUUGCCUGUAUAUAACAACAUUUAAAAUAAAAUAUUAGAAAUAAGUCUGCUAAACAACGUUUUCAGAUUCACGAAACCACAAACCACAGGACCACUAUACAGCAAACACAAAUCACGUCUAAACCAAAAUGAUAUACAAAGCAAUCAACCACAUUAUCUAAAAGUUUACUACAACAAAAUUCUCGCAAAACACUUUGAGCAUAUAUGAAAGAGCUCAAUAAUGGAAAAAUUAUGACUUACGUAAAAUUAAAAAGGGUUCCUCAACCGCAAGAUUCUCUAUUAUCUACUUUAUAUAUAAAGAUAAAUAGCUAAGCGGAAAAAAACGAUCCAGUCACUGAUCCUGUUCAAAUACAUGAUCAAUCCCACACAAACACACAAUUAACGAUAACAAUCACGAAGAUCGGAAUUCCAAAAUUCACUUACAUUAACAUCGACCAACAGCAUAUCCACCCACAUAAGCUCCCAACCCCGCUUAACGUUCCUAGCCUCCCAGUACCUCAGCAGCCUAGCCUCCACAACAGAUGAACACUUCCCGGUCUUCAAAUCGGAAAAAAACACCCUAGAGAUGGCCAUUUAGAGAGAUGAGUUGAGAUCGUGAAAAAAGGACGAGCAGCAGAGAGAUGAGAAGAGCAAGAUCUCCAGAAAGAUGAAUACUAACCAAUUUAUAGAGGAGAUUACGCCAAAGGAGACGACGCAUUGAAGGGCUCGAUCUGAGCGUCCGUAUUAAUGCCAUUAAAGAUGAGGUCCGUUACAGAGCAAUGGAUAAUGAUCGAUCGUUCUUCUCGCCACCGAAAUCAGAGUUGGACGAACAGAUGCGAUAGUUAGGUCAAGCGGGAUGUCGCUUUCUGAUGCUAUUCACGGGCCGCGACGAACAAACCGAGGCCCAUCCGAAAACAUAAAGGCCCGCACGGAACUGUGAUGCAGCACAGCGUUUCAUUAAAGAGAGACACGUGUCGGCACGCGGAUGAAUGAAUUGAUGACGUGUCAUCCGACGUGGAGCCCUCAGGAGAGAUACAAUGCUUCUUUUAUAUAUAAAGAUAUAAAAAAAAUCUAAAUCCAAAGAGAAACCGAAGACCGAAACUUGAAUCUACACAUAAUUCAACCACUCGGCCUAGCCUAGGAUUAUAACAUUUAGUUUACAUCACAAUAAUAUAAUACUUAACACAAAUAUUUAUCUCAAACAAAUACAUCAACUCUCAUCUUCCUCCCAACAGAAUCCAAUCAAGUUCGCUAAUGCUCGGAAGAUUAGAAAUAUUAUUCUUCUUAUAAACAUCAUAACGUCAAGAUCAGUGAACCCAAGAAAAAAAAAGAAGCAAAAACAGACUCCACAAUCCACAUAAUAAAAUUGAAAAUACAAAAACAAUAAUUUCAUCUUGAUCAUGUCCCAAUCUCAUUCUCACCGGAUAAUUCUUCGAGGGAUUUUCCUUUGGGCUCAGGGACAAGGAAGGUGAAGAGCAUACCGACGAAGUUGAUGACACCAAGCGUGAUCAGUGAGUUCUUGAUUCCAAUGCCCGGUGGAUACCCUGCGUCCGUCUUGGUCUUGUCCUGUGGCUGAGCUGCGUAUAGGAACCCAAAAGCUCCCACGAUGGCUCCAGCCUUACCUGUUGCGGCUGAUAUCCCAUGGCACGUGGAUCUUAGCCUAGCUGGGAAUAUCUCGGCCGGUAUAAUGAAAGUGGUUGCGUUUGGUCCAAAAUUGGCAAAGAAGAAAGUGAGAGAGUACAUAACCACGAACCCUAAACGAUUCUCCGGUUUGGUCCAGUGAUCAUAAGGGAAGGCAAUGGCAAACAUAAAGACAGUCAUCAUGAAGAAUCCCAUCAGCUGGAUCGCAACUCUUCCCAUGAUCUCAAUAAACGCAACCGUAAACCAGUAACCAGGGACAGUACUGCAUAGCGCAAUGAGAGACUGAGCCCUAGCAAUCCUGAAAACCUCAUGGAUGGCGUUCAUAGUGGAUGCCUUUGGGAUCCAUCCGAUACCCGAGAAGAUAUCCUUUUGGAACAGGUUUUGGCUGUAAAAGGCAAUGUCAAGCAAGAACCAUGUGGUUGUACAUCCGAGUAGUGGAAGACCAUGGCGUUUGGCGAAUUCCUUGGAGAACAAGCCAUAGCUAAGUCUGGGGUCUUUCAUGAUAUCCGCCGCUCUUUCCUCCACCUCAAGUUGUAUUUGUAAGACCUUGGACAUGUCUUGUGCUGCUUGUUUGAUGUUUUUUGCAACCAAAGCAGUGUACCGAGCGGUCUCUGGCAUUUUCAUGCGCCAGUAGUAAGUCAAGACUGCGGGUAGAGCACCAAACAUGACGAUGAUUCGCCAAACGUAAUCAGCCUGAGGAGGCGUUGAGAGAACCCUAUCAACUUCAUAGGUUGGUGCUGGAAACUUCAUGUCGAAUAUAGAAGAUACUACAAGUGCCACAAAACCUCCAGCCAAUAUACCAACACCUUGCAUAGCAAAUACCGCAGCGAUGAAAGCACCGCGAGUCUUCUUGUUAGCGUAUUCAGACAUAAUAGUCGCAGAAAGAGGGUAGUCACCUCCAAUACCAAAUCCCAGCCAAAACCUAAACAUUAAUUACUUAUUACUUGUAUGUUAGUGUGUAUUUUUUUUGGGGGCAACUAUGUUAGUGUGUGUAUAUAUAUAUCAGGUUUAAAUUUGACUAAUCAAAAAAGAUGCAUAUCAAAAUAUAUAUCAGGUUUAAAUCUGACUAGUCAUAAAAGAAGCAUAUCAAAGAUAUUAUUAGUAAGCAUACAUAUAUAAUUAUAAUUUUACCUGAAGAAACAAAGGGUGGUCAUGACACCCGUGGCUUUGUUACCGAAGGAGAGACCCGAACCGAUGGAGCACAAAGUCAUCAUGAUCAAAGUGAUACCAUACACUGUUUUUCUUCCAAGCUUGUCACCGAGCCAUCCGAAGAAGAGCUGACCAGCAAGGGUUCCACAAAGAGCCGCACCAUUGACCGCUCCCGCAACGUGAGGGGGAAGUGAGCCAGGCUUGUCUGACAGUGGAUUGAAGUAGUAGAUGCGGCCAAGGAGUUUGGUCACCAGAGAGACACAGAAGAGAUCGUAGGCAUCAGUAAAGAAACCCAUUCCAGCAAUGAGAAUCGCCGUGAAAUGGUACAGUUGCGUCUUCGCAACAUCAAGUGCCUUAAGCACUCCUAGUUGUUUUUCAGGCAUUCCUUGAGCCUGACCAAGCGAGGUAAAAAAUUCAAGAUUUCAGUUCAUGAGCUUAUCUGUUUUGUAUAACCCAAAUUUGUAUGUACGAGAAAAAUGUUCACAAAUAUUUUUUUUUUUAGUUGUUAGAAAUUUGUUAGAAAGAUUAUGCUACGUUCUUAUUUGUAUGAAAAAUAUAUAAUUUGUAAGUUCUAUAAGAUUAUGGUACGUACUUUUUUUUAUCAACAAAGAACGUUGUAAAUUUUUAGUGGCCAUUGUAUCGCUUUUUAUUAUAAGUAUUUGAGCUAUGUAUGGACGAAAUUGUGUAAAAGACAAAAGAAUGAGAACUAAAUAAAUUUUAAAACUAAAAAAAAAUCAACAUGAUAAGGUAUAAAAUAAAAUAAAUUCGAUGGAAGUAAGCAAUAUUAACCUUCAUCAGCUUUGAAGGAGUUUUAGAACUUCAAUGGAGAAUUAGAGGAAAGCAUGAGAGAGAGGAUAUGAGGUGACAAAAUGAACAAUAUGGUGGCAAAUUUAUACAGAAGCAGAAGGAGCAGUACACAUUAGAGAGAGAGAGAGAGAGAGAGAGAAAAAGAGAGAGAGAGAGAGAGAGAGAGAGAGAGAGAGAGAGAGAGAGAGAGAGAGAGAGAGAGAGAGAGAGAGAAGAGAGAGAGAGAGAGAGAGAAAGAGAGAGAGAGAGAGAGAGACGUGAUCGCCUGCUUCUUCUUAUUAUAUAAUUUGCAAGUAAUCCAUUGGGGUUUAGACAGUAGUUAAUAUUCAUUUGUUAGCCGCGAAAAAAAAACUUUUGUAUAAUUAGUAAUAAUAUAAAAUCACUAUAGCAGUGUAACACAUGCCGUUUAUAUACUUUAAACAUGAUCAUGACACGCAUACACAUAUUUAAAAUUUAUAUUUACAUUUUAAAUUUGAGGUUUUGUAAUUUAUCAAAAUUUUAAGUUUAAAUACAUCGAACUAUAAAAUGUAAAUCUAAUAUUUAAUAUUUAGAUAAACUUUAAUUAGAAAAUAUGGUAAUAUAUGAUUUACCAGAGAAUAUUCAUUGUUCCAAAGGAACAAAAUAAUACUAUAAUGGUCCGACCACCUACGGCUAGUGUAUUUUUCAUGUUUGCUACUUUGAUCCGUACAUCUAUUUUGUACGACAGACAAAGCGUUAAUUUUUUUUGAAAAUUCAAAAAUUUGUUUAUUUAUGAUUUUAUAAUUAUCACAUGAACUAAUUUUCGUGAUUUGAUCUCACUCGCACAAUAUCAUGAAAUUUUUCGAUCCAUCUUUCGAUCCAUCUUUUGAAUACUCAAACUGAGGCACACUUACUUCUAGAUUUCUCUUUGGAUACAUAUCCGAAAAGAUAAAUACACUUUAAAAAAUAGUUAUAUAAUUCAAUUCUCUUAAAUUUUUUAACAUAUACCACAAACAAAAAUAUGACAAUCACUCCUCAUAAAACAUAACGUUCUCAUUGCAUUCUAGGAUUGUCACUCAUAUUAGCGGAAGUCUAUACUGAAUUUGGCUCUUAUACCAUUUAUAAUACUCCGACUAUGUAUAGCUAAUGAACCUCUCAUAUCCGUUUGCUCGACAUGUGGACUGCAUCUCUUGCAAUAGACAGUACGUUAGUUUCUUGAAAACUCAAAAAUUUUGUUUAUUAAGUCUGUAAUUUUCUAUGAUUUUUUUUGCGUGUUUUGGUUUUAUUUGUACGGUACUGAAUUUUUUAUCUGACCUCUCUAUAAAAUAAUAUGAAAUAAGUCAUUCUAGUAUGAUUUAUUACUUUGAUAUAAAUAAAAUGUGUGCGUGAUAAUCAUAAUAAAUCAAGUUAAAGCAACAAAUAUUCAUAAGACUAUAACAUAUGUAAACAGUAAAAUUGUGAAACGUGAUAAUCACAUUAUCCUUGCUAUGGUUUCAUACUUUCAUGCUUAUCGCAAGUGACAUGAAUAUUUGUUUUAUUGAAUUUCCUCGAUCUCUAGGUUGAAUUAGGGUGUACGGUAUACUUAUUGUCAAACAAUUUGUGCAUUCAACAUAGUAUCAAAAAUUCCUUUAAAAUGCUAGAAUUGAUGGAAAAGCAACACAUAUAUGUUGGAUCUGUUGUAUUUGACUCGUGGUGCAAUGAUUGGGACGCACUCAUUUCUUUACUCGAGUAAUAAACAAAUUUGUAAAAAUUUGUAAAAAUUUUAUUACUGGGGUGAAAACUUUUAAAUUCCAUUCAAAUCUUUCGUUAUUGAAAAAAUAUACUUAUCAUUAAUUUAGCAAUUCUAUUAAAAUCUAUUUUUAUUAGAAUGUAAAUUCUUUUUUUUUUCUCAUAAGAUUCAAAUUUUAGAGUAUCAGUAUAACCAUAAGAUUUUUAAAAUCUGUGUAAUUAAAACACACAAACACACAUAACUGAAUAAUACAAUCACUCAAAUCACAACUUUUUGAUAAUCUUAUCAGUACGACUCAUAAACAUUUUUUUUGCAAAACAGUAUGAAAACUAAUAUAUCAUAAAAUAUUAGCGUAUAUGAAUAUUUUCAAAUUCUUGUUUCAUGCAUAAAAAAUUGGUUUAAUAAUCAAAAGAAAAUUCAAUAGGACAAAUUAAAUAUAUAUUAAGAAGCAACAUAUUUAUGUGAUUAAUUGAAAUAAUGAAUUAAUUUACAGUAUGAAAACUAUAAAAUUAUUAUAUUUGAAAUAGUUAUAGAAACAUUUAAAUAUAUGGUAACAUUAAAAAUAUUAAUUAUAUAAACAAAUAUCUGUAUAUAUAAACAUGAAAAUAAAUACUGCACGGUUGUGCCUAAAGAUUAUGGUAUAUGAAUAUUUUUAAAUUGUCAUAAAAUUCAAAAAAUUACUAAAUAAUUAUUAUUUUCUUACUACUACUUAUAACUUAAAUUGAAAUUAGAUCCACUUAUUAUUUUUAAUAAUAGAUAAGGAAAUAUAAAAUAAUUUUCAUUUUUUUUAACUUUGCAUAUUUUAGUUUGUCAAAUAAUUAAACAUGUAACCAACAAAACAUAUAUAUAUAUAUAUAUAUAUUAAGGAGAAACAAAUACAUGUGAAUUUGAAAUAAUUAAUUGAAUAAAACAAACAAACGAUAAAAUUUAGGUAUUUGAAAAAUAAUAUAAAUAUUUAAAAUCUGUGUAAUAAGAACACACAAACACACAUAACUGAAUAAUACAAUCACUCAAAUCACAACUUUUUUGAUAAUCUUAUCAGUACGACUCAUAAACAAUUUUUUUUCCAAAACAGUAUGAAAACUUAUAUAUCAUAAAGUAUUAGCGUAAUAUACUUUUGUUAAUCUAACACUAUUAGCAUAAUCUAUUUUUGGAGAUAAUUAACAAAAGCUACAGUUAGCAUAACUGAUCCUGGAACAAUCAGGCUCUAGUUAUGAAAAUAACAGAUCCGUAAAACCAUCAAGAUCAACAGUUAGAACUGCUAAAACACAGUGAAAUGAGUCAUAAAAAAUUAAGUUGGAAAUGUUGAGAUAAAAAAAAUCUACAUAUGUUGUGUCGAACUUAAACAAUGGUUCAUUAUUUAUAAAACUUAUAUGAAGUCAACAUUCAUAUAACUUUCACAAAAAAUACCAAAACAGUUUUCUUGCAAAAAAUAGUUAUACUAGACAAUUUUUGUAUAACUAAACAAACAAAAGACUUAGCGAAACACUUUUCUUACAAACAAAGUCUUAUGAAUCAAUCUUCGUAAAACAAAACAAAAUUUUACAAAACGAUCAUCGUAAGACCAAACUAAACAAAAUUUUAUGAAAUGACCUUUGUAAAACCAAAUAAAGUUAUAUAAAACGAUUUCGAGUGAAAAUAGCCAUCUUAACAUCCAACCCUUUCUCCUAGCAACUAACUGCACAGAAUAAAAUUAAGUUAUUAACAGCAUCCUUUUUAAGUAAACCCGAAUCUAAUAUGGUAUCAGAGCACAGAUCCUAAUAAGUUAAACCCCUAAUUAGAUCCUAAUAUGUGCUCUGAUACCAUAUUAGAUUCACACCACAAUUUUCAUUUUGAUUCUGACCAUAACUUCUUAUCAUCAUAUAAAAUUAAGUUAUUAACAGCAUCCUUUUUUAUCUUUUAAACUAAAGAAAAAAGAAAAGAAAUGUUAUGGGCGAAAAUUAAUUCUUUAAUCUCUGAAGAAUUUAUAAAUAUAUCUAGUAGUUGUCGCUAUUUCUUAUAAUCCAACACAUAUAUAUUACAACUUGCUCUAAUCAACCAAUUUUUAUUUUAGAACAUUAUCAACAAAUAUCUUGGAGAGCUUACAAUUAAAAAUAUAAUUAAAUUUCUGAUUUUAUACCAUCCACAAAAGACAAAAGACAAUGUCGUUUUCAUUGCCCUUCUCCUGCCAUAAGAUAAACGACAUAGAGAACUAUUGGAAGUUGUUUCUAAUGAAAUUAUAAAAUUUGGGGAUUCAUUGUUAUUGGUGUAUGAGAUUUUAAAACUUUAGUAAAAAUUUUAUUACUGGGGUGAAAACUUUUAAAUUCCAUUCAAAUCUUUCGUUAUUGAAAAAAUAUACUUAUCAUUAAUUUAGCAAUUCUAUUAAAAUCUAUUUUUAUUAGAAUGUAAAUUCUUUUUUUUUUCUCAUAAGAUUCAAAUUUUAGAGUAUCAGUAUAACCAUAAGAUUUUUAAAAUCUGUGUAAUUAAAACACACAAACACACAUAACUGAAUAAUACAAUCACUCAAAUCACAACUUUUUGAUAAUCUUAUCAGUACGACUCAUAAACAUUUUUUUUUGCAAAACAGUAUGAAAACUAAUAUAUCAUAAAAUAUUAGCGUAUAUGAAUAUUUUCAAAUUCUUGUUUCAUGCAUAAAAAAUUGGUUUAAUAAUCAAAAGAAAAUUCAAUAGGACAAAUUAAAUAUAUAUUAAGAAGCAACAUAUUUAUGUGAUUAAUUGAAAUAAUGAAUUAAUUUACAGUAUGAAAACUAUAAAAUUAUUAUAUUUGAAAUAGUUAUAGAAACAUUUAAAUAUAUGGUAACAUUAAAAAUAUUAAUUAUAUAAACAAAUAUCUGUAUAUAUAAACAUGAAAAUAAAUACUGCACGGUUGUGCCUAAAGAUUAUGGUAUAUGAAUAUUUUUAAAUUGUCAUAAAAUUCAAAAAAUUACUAAAUAAUUAUUAUUUUCUUACUACUACUUAUAACUUAAAUUGAAAUUAGAUCCACUUAUUAUUUUUAAUAAUAGAUAAGGAAAUAUAAAAUAAUUUUCAUUUUUUUUAACUUUGCAUAUUUUAGUUUGUCAAAUAAUUAAACAUGUAACCAACAAAACAUAUAUAUAUAUAUAUAUAUAUUAAGGAGAAACAAAUACAUGUGAAUUUGAAAUAAUUAAUUGAAUAAAACAAACAAACGAUAAAAUUUAGGUAUUUGAAAAAUAAUAUAAAUAUUUAAAAUCUGUGUAAUAAGAACACACAAACACACAUAACUGAAUAAUACAAUCACUCAAAUCACAACUUUUUUGAUAAUCUUAUCAGUACGACUCAUAAACAAUUUUUUUUCCAAAACAGUAUGAAAACUUAUAUAUCAUAAAGUAUUAGCGUAAUAUACUUUUGUUAAUCUAACACUAUUAGCAUAAUCUAUUUUUGGAGAUAAUUAACAAAAGCUACAGUUAGCAUAACUGAUCCUGGAACAAUCAGGCUCUAGUUAUGAAAAUAACAGAUCCGUAAAACCAUCAAGAUCAACAGUUAGAACUGCUAAAACACAGUGAAAUGAGUCAUAAAAAAUUAAGUUGGAAAUGUUGAGAUAAAAAAAAUCUACAUAUGUUGUGUCGAACUUAAACAAUGGUUCAUUAUUUAUAAAACUUAUAUGAAGUCAACAUUCAUAUAACUUUCACAAAAAAUACCAAAACAGUUUUCUUGCAAAAAAUAGUUAUACUAGACAAUUUUUGUAUAACUAAACAAACAAAAGACUUAGCGAAACACUUUUCUUACAAACAAAGUCUUAUGAAUCAAUCUUCGUAAAACAAAACAAAAUUUUACAAAACGAUCAUCGUAAGACCAAACUAAACAAAAUUUUAUGAAAUGACCUUUGUAAAACCAAAUAAAGUUAUAUAAAACGAUUUCGAGUGAAAAUAGCCAUCUUAACAUCCAACCCUUUCUCCUAGCAACUAACUGCACAGAUGGCUUCUUCACAGCUUCUUCCUUGCAACUAGUUGCAAGCAAGGGCCUUUUCUGGUAAACUUUUCGAAGGAAUUAAUAGGGACCAUUUAGAAACUUUUAGGAAUGUGAAACCAGAAUGCCAAACAUAGUUUGAGUUUAAUAUCAAACGAGUGAAGGAACCAGUCGAAUAACAUAGCGAAUCAUCUAUACAAACCGUAAGCUUACAAACAAUAUUUGUAUGAUUGAUGGAUCAUGGACCCAAGACUCAUUUUUUAAUGGUUAUAGUUCGCUUUGAAAAAACUCUACAUAAAGAAUCAAAUUUUGGAGAGCUAAAAAUUAGUGGAGAAAAAUGCCAUUGUUGCAUGCGGAACUCUGAGGCUUUUUUGGGUUAUGAAAUGCAUGCUACAAAUAUUGACGUGUCAACAUUUUAGUAUUGAUUGAAAAAUCUGAUCUUAAUGAUAUAAGAUGCAGAAGUCUGACCAAGUUUUUCAACAGAAUUAAAGAGUUGUCAAGACUGAAGAGCAGAUUUAUAGACUUCUCUAUUGUUUAUCAUUCUCGAAGCGGAUUUAGUAGCUAAAAUAGUAAAGACAUAUCAUAAGAAUCUAUAUUACAUUAAUACAUUGGUUAUUCUCUUGUUUGGUAGAAUACCUCAAGAUUGAAUAGUAAAAUGUUAAUAAAAAAUAGCUAAGCAUAUUUCCUAUGAAAAAAGCAAGCAUACUCUCUUUCUAUCAAUAGCGUUUAUUUAAUUUUCUUUUAUUCCUUAAGUCUUUACUAAUUACCGAUCGAUACCAGGAAUCUUAUUCAGAUUAAUUAAUUAUUGUGUCUAUACUUUUCGAACCAAAAUAAUAUAUUAGCUAGUGACAAAGUAGUUGACGUUUUGAAUUAGAUUAGGUUUGUUUUCGAGUAUUAGUUUUAAAGAAAACAAGUUAUUAAAAUAGCAGGAAAAGAAAAAGAAAAAUAUGUAAGAUGUUUGUCCUGAAGUAAUCGCUGACGUAGUUGCUGAAACAAACGUCGUGUUGAGUGGUGAAAAUUAUGUGGAUUCAAGGUGCUGAGCUGGAAUCGUAUAGAUUUGGAGAGCAAGAGAAUAUCUUAGAGAUAAAGAAAGAAAAGUAAAUUUGAGGAGCAAGUUUAUGACUUAAUGGAAGAAGAAUAAGUGCAUUCCAAGAAAAGAAAAAUUACACUUAAUGCUAUGGAAGAUCACUACAAAAAAAAGACUGUAAUACAUCACUUAAAUUGAAUCAGAAAAAUAAAUGAUAGUAAUUUGAAUUAUUUAUCAGCAAAUGAUUCAAAAUAUGUGUUUUAACAUCAAUUAUAACAAACGAUGAUACUAUUAAUUUAUUUGACAUCACUUUAAUGCAAUUGAUACAAAUCUAUAUUAAUUUACAUCACUUUUAUAAAACUGAUAGAAAAUAUAGGUUUACAUCAAUUAAAUAAUCGAUACAUUCACUAAUUUGGAUUAACAUCACUUAUAAAAAUGAUACAAUAGUAACAUCAUUUCAAUAAAUGUUGCAAAUUUGACAUCAAUAAUAAAAUGAUACUAACAUAAUUUUAACUAAAAUAUUAAUAUGUGUAGGUAUUUCAGUUAUGUCGCUUGAAUAUAUUUGAUGUUGCAAAUUUUAUUUUUUACAAAUUAAAAUACAAUAUUAUCAUAUGAAUUUUAUACAGAUAAAAUCUGUUUAUCUGUAUAUUUAAUCUUAUAAAGAAAAUUUGUAUUGCGUUGAUAUAGAAUUUGAAUUCAUAUAAUAAAUAAGUUAGAAAAAUUGAUAUGUUGAAUAUUAAAAUGAUAAAUAUAGACUAAAUGAAGAAUUUUAAAUCUAUAUUUAAAAAUACUUUUAUGCUCAUUAUAAUAUAGAAUUAAUUAAACGAAAUAAGUUAGCUAAAAACAGAAAUUUACAACUAACGACUUAAUUGAUAAAUGAUGUUCAUAUUCAUGUUGUCUUGGAGACUAGGGUUUCAGGAACGUGGAGAAUAACUAUAAGAUAGCUAUGGGUCGUCUGAAAAGAGACAUAGACACAUAAGCUGAUUUUAUAGAGAGAGGGAAAAGUUUUUGAGAGUGUCUUGGUCGUGCUGAAUCAGUUGCCGAAGUACUUGAUAGAAGAGAGACAUGGUUGAGUAGAUUAGGAAUCUUUCAGUAGCAGCUGUUAAGGUGUUGACAGACUGUGUAAAGCUGGUAAGCAAGUAUUGUAAUAGAUUGUUUAGGUGAUUUCUAAUAAAAUAUAGUUAGUUGCUGUAUCCGAUUAUCUCUUUAAUUUAUCUUAUGUAUUACUUUAUUGUGGUGUUAUCUUUGCACUAACAAAAGACAGCAUUAGAAAAAAGAAUUUGAAAAUCUGUCGUACGAUUUGAUGAUUUAAUUUUAUAAUAUUAAAUCAUCUUCUAAGAAUUAAAAAUACCAAUUCAGCCUAUUGAUUAUUAAAAAUAAUACUCAAAGGAUAUUAAAAUGACAUGUACGAUGGAUUUAACAAACGUAUCCAAUGAGAUGUAUCCAUUCUAGGAUGCAUUAUUAUAUCUCUAUCAGAAUAUGUAACAGACAUGUCACCCACAAUAAAUCCAGCAAUUUCGUAUCCUUGUGGAAAUUCAAAUUGUCUUUCACGUUCUUUAUUUCCGAGUAUCUUAACUGAAUAUUCUUCACUUGCUUUUGACUCUUAUCGAUUUCUAGCUAUUCUGAACACUUUAGCUAACUCAUUGCACUUGUCAUGCAUCUUAGUUAAUCCUCUCAUAAUACUUUCAUCUAGGUCGUUUUUUUCUUUUGCUAGUUAGUUGAAACGGUUCUGAAGUUCAUGAGCCGUAUCAUAUAUGUAUACCUGUGCAAAACCUGGUAUAUCUCCUUCCGCUAGUAGUAAAGAUCCAAUUUUAUAGUAGUUUUGAUCAUGCAUACGAAAAAGAAAGGACCAUUUCCUGAAUGCAUAUAGUUAUUAAUUUUCCUCCCAUUGAUGUAAAAGCAAGCACUAAAUUAUAUAUCGUAUAUAUUUUCUGAAACGAAGUUGACUGUGAUAGUCAUCUACGAGAGCUGGAGGUUCUCAAGAUUAUUGUAGGAUAACUCGUCUCUGUGACAUUAAGAUCAAAAUUGGUUCUUUCAUUCCCUUUCAGUUUUAAACUUUUAGUUUCCACACCAAAGCUUUCAAGUGAGUACAUGUGAGUGUGAUCAAUUCAUUGGCUUUUUUCUUUGGGAAAACUGUUUUUUUAGAGCAAAAAAAUGGUAACUAUGUCUCUUUAGACUAAUAUAUAUUUUGUGUCAUAUUUUCCUAUAACACCCUUUAAUAUUUUUGAAAAUAAAUUUAAUAAAUAGUUUUACAAACAAAAAAAUUUUGGAAAAAUUGUAACUUUUGAUAAAAUACCUAUAUGAACUUAGUGAUAUUUUUUCUAAUUAUAAAAAAGUUAAAAUUAUAAAUUUCAUAUUAUGUUCUAAAUAAAGUAGAAAUGACAUUCUACGAAGUAGAAAACGAAAUCCACUUUUUUCAUUGAAUCUACAAUGUUUAGAAUACGUGAUCUACGUAAAUAGGAGUAUUCUAAAAAUAUUUAGAAUACACAUUCCGCGCUUAACCUAUCGUUCUAAAAUCUUUAGAAAUCAAAAUCUACACAUUAAUAUAAAUCUAAAACACGUAGAAACCGACUUCUACAGAUUUACUAUAAAUCUAAAACAUGUAGAAAUCAAACUCUAAACAUUACUAUAAUUCUAAAAAACUGUAGAAACCGAUUUCUACAUAUUAGUUGUAUUCUACGGAUAAGAAAUCAGUUCCUAAAAAUAUGGAAACAAAAUAUUUGAGAAUAUUCACUUUUAUAUUUUUUAAAAAAAAAUCGAUUUUUUUUUAAAAAAAUAAAAAAAACGAAAAAGGAACAAAAAAAUAAAAAAAAAUGAAAAAGAAAUAAAAAAUUACAAUUUUAAGGGCAUUACUGCCAUUUUGAAAAAAAUUAGUCUAAUGGGACAUAAAGUAGUAUAGAUUAGUAUAAAGGGACAUAGUUACCAUUUUUUUUGCUCUAAAAAAACAAUUUUCCCUUUUUCUUUUAUAUUUUUUUCCCCGAAAAAGGGGUUAAUUCUAUAUAUAUAUAUGCACAGGCCCAUUGAAACUUAUGUAGGCCUAAUUUUAUCAAGUAAGUAAUUACAAAUUCGUAUGAUAAAAGAUAGUGAAUCAAUUAUUUUUGGAUGAACGUGUUUUUAAUAUUUUUAAUAGGAUACACUAUAGAGAAAGACAGUUGUAACAAUUUUUCAAGCUGCGUACUUGUAAGUUGGGGAUCCUAUGUUUUGUAAAAUUGUGUUAGAGAAUGAAAGUUUAUGGAUGUGAAUCGGAAUUUGACUUUUAACAGUUACAAAUUUAUUCAUAUUGUCGGCCCAUUCUUGAAAUGUUAUAGCUGUAUACAGAGCCGGCCCUUUGGGCCAAGCUAAUGAAACAUGGACUUCUGGCCGAUUUAUUAAUCAAAAAUUUUUGACCACAAUUUUGUCAAGUAUUUCUUUAGCCUAAUUGUAAAAGUUCAAUUCCUAAUUUCAGAAACAUCAACCCAUGUUCAAUACUUCUUUACCUCAUAUUUCUUUUCUGUUUUCCUGAAAAAGUGGCCUUUUUGUUGUUGCUUCUAGCCCUAUACAUCCUAGGACCGGUUCUGGCUGUAUAUGAGGUCAGGCCCGUCCCUGCAUUAAAGCAGGUAAAACAAUGGCUUUAGAUCACAUAUUAGAAAAAUAAAAUAUAGGCCACAUUUUUCAAAAUUAACUGCAGCUCAAAUGGUUACAUAGGAGAAGUUAGUGAUCUUCUUUCCUAUGGCUCAAGCUACGAACUCAUUUUGCUAUAAUUGUUUUGCUAACUUACUAUAAAGGCCACAAUACUUUUGACAUGCUUUAAGCCUCAAAUUUUUUUAGGACGGCACUGUAUGAGGUUUUUCAAUCACUGGCUUCUCAAUCGUAAGUAAUCUGUUCAUUAUUUAGAAUAGCUUGUUUUCUUUUGUUAGCUGCAUUUCCAGUUUUCUCUGGUGUGUUCAUGUUUUAAUGUUUCAACCGAGUGUCGUUUAUGGAAUGCAUUUUAUUUUAAUUCAACUUCAUUGUGGUUGCGGUUAAGUACUAAAUUUCUUAAUGUGAUAGUUGAGAUUGUUUAAUUGUGGAUAUGUUCUUUUUAUAAAAAAAACUGACUUAAAUAUUUUAAUAUGUUUGUUUUAUUCCAAGUCAUCUAAUUUUAUUCAUGCUCGUAUGUGUAAUAGAUUAUUCUAUUUUGUGUUCUUUCUGAGUGUUCAACUAUAUACUUUUCACAUUAAUAUUUGAUUAGUGUUCAAUGAUUUUUGUUUUCAAAUUCAUGACGUAACUCUAAAAACCCUAUAUUUAUAUAGACACAAUGAUCUACGAUCUCUUAUUUCUAUUACAAAAACAAAUUUUACAGUUUUUUUAUGUUUAUUGUUUUCCUUUUAUAUCUCUCUAUAUUUUCUUUAUCUAACUUUUUGAAUUUUUUGUUAUCUAUUAAUUGUUGGUGUGGUUUUGCCUCAGAGUUUAUUGAAUAAAAGGAAAAAAUAUUUGAUUCAUUACUUAUUUUCAGCAGAUACUAAUGAGAAGGCAUUGAAAGAAGUUCGUUUUUUUUAGGCUUUCAAGGUUUAGUUAAGACUUUGCCAAACUCAUACCAUCCAUUUCAAAUGGGAUUUUAGCUCGAGAGUAUGUCCAGACCUCUCUAGCACCAUUAUUAACUGUGCUUGUGUUUCAGAACGGAGAAAGCUGGUCUUAGAUAAGAGACGCAAAAGAAGUCUCUAGCCUUUUUUUGCUUAAUUUGGUUUGAUAAAUCGAAAAAUAAAUAUUACGAAUGUUACCUUAUUUUUCAUUCGUGUUAGUUUUUUCGACAUAUUCUUGUAUAGAAUAUAUAGAAAAAGAAAUUUCUCUAUCAAAUUUUUUUCUAUAAUUCUCUCUCAAAAAAUUCUAUAUAUCCUUGAUAUUUAUGUAUUUUUGCUAUAUUGUGUAUUUUGGGUAAUGUUAUGAAUUUUACUAAAUUUUAUUGUUUUCUUUGGUUUGUAUUGUACUUUUUUCCUAAUAUUUUUUAAAAAUGUAUGUUUUGAUUAUGUAUUAAUAUUUACUAGAUUCUGACCUGCCCUUAAAAGGGCGGUAUAUUUUUUUGUUUUACAUAUUUUGAGAAAUCUAAUUUUUAUUUUUGUGUGUGUUUUAGUUAUAUUUGUGUUUUUUGUAUAAUAUUUAUCUUAAAUGAUUAAUAAGAGGUUUUAAUAAUUUUAUUAAAAUAGUUAGACCACACCUAUAUCAAUAGUUCAUGUUGCUAUUUUAAUAGAAUAGAUUCCAUAACUGUUUUCAAUUUUGUAAAUUUAAAUUUAGUGAUCUAAAGAGGAAACAAUUUCUGGUAAGUUCAAUUUUUUAUUAGCAUGAACUUGAUGAAAUCUGAAAGUAAUUUCGCAAAUACAAUUUUACUGAUCUAACAAAUUUUUCUAUUUAUUCUUAACAUAUAUGUAUUAUUAGGGUAUAUGAUCCAUUCUAACCAAAUUAUUAUUUAUUGACUACAUUUUUCAUCAAACUCAAAAGAUAUUAUAUAUUUUCACUAAAUUUUAACUGCAAUUAUGUGUUAUAUUUUGUUCUGUAUAUGAAAAUAUUUAUAAUAGCUUGACAGGAUAUUAGAGAGAAAUUAACAUUAGACGAAUGAUCAAAUCUAUCAUUUUUUGAAGAAAUUCAAAAAAAGGUGAUUGGAAUCUUGUCAUGAUAUUUCAUAAAAGUUUUUUAGGAAUGAAAAUCAAGACUAAAUUAUUUAAUCUGAAUGAAUAUAUAUGAUGUUUCCAAUUAAAAAAUCACUUCGUUUGAUCUAAUAUAUAUAUAUCGAUCAAAUAACAUAUUAGAAACCACCUAUUUUAAAAACUAUUGUGUACAUAAAAGUAUAUACAUUAGAGUAAACACAUAAAUCAAAACAAAUACCUUUUAUUUAUUUACAAUCAUGUUUUUGGUACGUAAAUCAAAACAAUUAUUUAUUUAUUUCACAUGGUAUAUAAUUAAACUUUACUGAUAUUGACAUAUAUAUAUAUAGACUAUAUUUUAAUGUAAAUAUUUAUUAUUGACACUUUCUAAUCAUAUGAUUUUAUUAACAUUUGUAUAUUUGCUGUAACAAAAAAUUGAACCGUUAACUACAAAACUCUUAAUAUGACACUUUAUUUUCAUACGAUUUAUGAUCAUUUGUAUCUUGGUUGAACGAAAAAAAUGUUAAACCAUUGUUCAUAAAAUUUUCAGUGCGAGAUUUUUAUAAUUUUUAAUAAUUUAUAGUCAUUUUAAAAUUUUAAAAUAUAACAUAUAAAAAAUCUAAUUUUGUAUUAUAUGUUUAAUUUGAUUUUUUAAUUUCUUUUAGUAAUUUAAAAUUAAACAAAAAGAGAGAUGAUACAAAAAUUGUUAUCAAAUAUGUAUUAUUCAAAAUCAUUAAUUCCCUAUAUAUUAAUCUUGGAGCAUUAAAACAUGUUUUCGUAGCCACGUGUCACCACUAGUAUGAUUCUUAGAAUUCUUAUCAGAAUAAUUGGUGCAUACAAAUAUAUAUAUUAUACUUUUUAUUAAACUAACUAUCAAAAUGAUUAGUAGUGUCCAAACGAAUAUUGUCAAUUUUUUCCUUAUAUAAAAGCUACGAAAUUACCUAAUAUAGUUAACAUAUAUGUGACAAUGAAUGAUUAUGAAUAAUACAUAUUUGAUGACAAUUUUUGUAUCAUCUAUUUUUUUGUUUAAUUUUAUAUUAUUUAAAGAUAUUAAACAAUUACAUUAAGCAUAUAAUAAAAAAAAUUUGAAUUUUUUCUUAAUGUUAUAUUUUGAAUUUCUUAAAACGACUAUAAAUUACUAAAAAUGGUUAAAGUCUCACACUGAAAAUUUUCUGAUCAAUGGUUUUAAAAUUUUUUAGUUCAAGCAAGAUAGAAAUGAUCAUAAAUCGUAUGAAUAUGAAGUCUCAUUACAAUAUAUUCAUAUUAUAUAUAUAUAUAUAUAACAUUUAAAUUAUAUUAUAUACUAUAUAAAAUUUUAAAAUAUAAAAUUUUAAAUUUUGCAUUAAUAUAUUAUUGAGAUCUUAAUAUUUUAAUUUUCAAAUUUGUAUUGAUAAAUCUCACAUUAAAAGUUUUGUGACUAACAAUUUAAAUUUUUGUUACCACAAAUAUACAAAUGUUAUUAAAAUUAUAUGAGUAGGAAGUGUCAAUAAUAAAUAUUUAUAUUAAAAUAUACUAUAUAUAUCUAUGUCAAUAUCACUAAAGUUUAACUAUAUACCAUAUAAAGUUUAAAUAGGUGGUUUCUAAUAUGUUAUUUGAUUUUGACAAUCCCAUAAAUACAAUUUUUCAAAUCGAAGUGAUUUUUAAUACUGGAAGCACUAUAUAUGUAUAUAUUAUUUCAUUCAGAUUAAGUAUUUUAGUCUUGAUUUUUAUUCCUAAAAGAUUUUAAUGAAAUAUCAUGACAAGAUUUCAAUUACCUUCUUUUGAGUUUGUUCGAAAAAUGAGAGAUUUGAUCAUCCGUCUAAUAUUUUUUUCUCCCUAAUAUAUUAUCUAGCUAUUUUAAUUGUAAGAAUGGGAGAUUUAAACUAUUUAAUAUAAGUUUUCUGGUUUAUCAUUUAAUAAAUCAAACAGUUCUUAUUUUGUACAUAGUUUACAUAUACUAGAAUGGUAAAUUAUUAUAUGCAUUUUUUCGAUAUCCUCUUAAGUAACUAAACCUCAAAAGCGUAGGUUAAUAAAAUAAGUAAUUUUUUUUGUUGUUCUAGAAUUAGAUGAAUUUUAGAUCGAAGUGGUGAAUAUAUACUAGACGUACAUUUAUAUUUCGAAUCUGCACUUAUAUUAUAUAAAAGCUUGAUAUAUUAGAUUUGAACAUUAACAUGUGAAUAGAGUUUGCCGGUGGUUUUCUUCAAAAAUUUGAUUUUUAGAUAUGUAUGUGAAGUGGAACUAAUUUUUAAAGAUGUUCAUCUUUUUAAAUUGACAUUUAUGUAAUUCACCAAAUUCAGAAAAGAAACUAAAAAAGAAACAAAACUCAUAUAAGUGAAACAUAAACAAUAACGAAAGCACAAUUUUAUAGAAGUAGAAAAUGAAAUCACUUAUGGAGAGUCAAUAGUAAACCAAUCAAGAGCAAAAAAUCUUCUAUUUACGUCAUUUUACAAUCGAUGUUGUCUAUCUAUUUUUUAUUUGUGUCAGCCGCAAAACUUAUUUUUUAUGCAUAUGAAAUCUUAAAAAUAAGUAAAAUGAGUUGUAAUACAUUAAUUCUUCAAUAACGAUGAUACAUAGAUCAACAUUUGUAUUCGUCAUUGUAAUCAUUUUACAAUUGAUAAAGAUUGUAGUGUUGCAAAACUUUAAAACCAUUUAAUGAACAAACAUUUGUAUAAAAUUUCACUCUGCGCAUACGCGCGAAUUAUCAUAUAGUUGUCAUAUAUAUAUUAAUCAUAUCAGGUAAUUCCGUAGUUUUUAUUUAAGAAAAUAAUUGAUAAUUUUUUUGUAUAAAUAUAAUUUAUAUUUAUAUAGAAAAAUUUAUUUUCCUAAGGAUUUUAAAAAUUAUCCUAGUGAUGACACGUGCCUACAAAAACAUGUUGUAAUACUUCAGGAUUAAUAUAUAAAUAUGAUAAUGCAUAACUUUAAAAACAAUAUAUGUUCAGUUUCUAUAGUAUCACGAAAAAUCUGAUGUUAUUUUAGCCUAGUACUAUAACCAUGGAAUAUUUACUAAAAUACGUAUCUUUCGCAUUCAUUAGUUUAUUUGAUACAUACUCCUAUUCCUCCAUUGAAUAUUUGUAGAGAUUUUUACCAGAAACAAAUAUUUGUACAGUGAUUCAUCAGAGAACAGUAGUUGAGUUUGCAUUUUUUUUCUUAAUUACUGUAUUAGGAGAAAAAGGCAAGAUUAGUCUCUCCGAAUUCUCCGAAAAUAAAAAUAGAAAUGUAUCCGUGAAUAGCCGAAUAGGGAAGCGUGCCAGGGCUAUCUCAAUCUUCCCAUACUUAUCGAUCACGUCAUCAUCCCCUUUGUCCGAUACGAAACCGAACCUCCCUUCUUUAAAAUCCACACCUUGUCCGAAUCUCUCUCCAACCGCUAAAAGAGAAAAAAAAUGGCGACAACCCAGCUAAAAUCGGAUGCGAUCAUGGAUUUGAUGAAGCAGCAUCUCUCCACCGACGCCGGUAAAGAGCUCACAGAGAAGAUCGGUCUCGUUUAUCAGAUCAACGUCGCUCCCAAGGUUCCAAUCAAGAGCAAAAAAUCUUCUAUUUACGUCAUUUUACAAUCGAUGUUGUCUAUCUAUUUUUUAUUUGUGUCAGCCGCAAAACUUAUUUUUUAUGCAUAUGAAAUCUUAAAAAUAAGUAAAAUGAGUUGUAAUACAUUAAUUCUUCAAUAACGAUGAUACAUAGAUCAACAUUUGUAUUCGUCAUUGUAAUCAUUUUACAAUUGAUAAAGAUUGUAGUGUUGCAAAACUUUAAAACCAUUUAAUGAACAAACAUUUGUAUAAAAUUUCACUCUGCGCAUACGCGCGAAUUAUCAUAUAGUUGUCAUAUAUAUAUUAAUCAUAUCAGGUAAUUCCGUAGUUUUUAUUUAAGAAAAUAAUUGAUAAUUUUUUUGUAUAAAUAUAAUUUAUAUUUAUAUAGAAAAAUUUAUUUUCCUAAGGAUUUUAAAAAUUAUCCUAGUGAUGACACGUGCCUACAAAAACAUGUUGUAAUACUUCAGGAUUAAUAUAUAAAUAUGAUAAUGCAUAACUUUAAAAACAAUAUAUGUUCAGUUUCUAUAGUAUCACGAAAAAUCUGAUGUUAUUUUAGCCUAGUACUAUAACCAUGGAAUAUUUACUAAAAUACGUAUCUUUCGCAUUCAUUAGUUUAUUUGAUACAUACUCCUAUUCCUCCAUUGAAUAUUUGUAGAGAUUUUUACCAGAAACAAAUAUUUGUACAGUGAUUCAUCAGAGAACAGUAGUUGAGUUUGCAUUUUUUUUCUUAAUUACUGUAUUAGGAGAAAAAGGCAAGAUUAGUCUCUCCGAAUUCUCCGAAAAUAAAAAUAGAAAUGUAUCCGUGAAUAGCCGAAUAGGGAAGCGUGCCAGGGCUAUCUCAAUCUUCCCAUACUUAUCGAUCACGUCAUCAUCCCCUUUGUCCGAUACGAAACCGAACCUCCCUUCUUUAAAAUCCACACCUUGUCCGAAUCUCUCUCCAACCGCUAAAAGAGAAAAAAAAUGGCGACAACCCAGCUAAAAUCGGAUGCGAUCAUGGAUUUGAUGAAGCAGCAUCUCUCCACCGACGCCGGUAAAGAGCUCACAGAGAAGAUCGGUCUCGUUUAUCAGAUCAACGUCGCUCCCAAGGUUCCCCUAUUCCUAGACUCGAUAUAUGUUCUUUUAAAUUUUUUGUUAAUUUUUUUUCCGUUUUUUGUUUGAAUUAUCAGAAAUUGGGGUUUGAAGAGGUUACCUACAUCGUUGAUCUGAAGAAAGGAGAAGUCACCAAAGGUUAGCUCUCUCGUUGAUUAUGUCAAUUGGGUAUUCGAAUUUCGUAUUUGGAUUCCGUUAAAUCAAUUUGAUUGAUUGUUGAUUAUGCGAAAUGAUUUAAAGGAAAAUACGAAGGAGGGAAAGUUGAUGCUACUUUCUCCUUCAAAGAUGAUGACUUUGUCAAAGUUGCUACCGGCAAGAUGAAUCCUCAGAUUGCUUUCAUUAGGUUUGUUCUUUAUUACAAGUGUUUUUUUUGUGUCUGAACCCAAAUUCACCAUUAGCAACAACAAACACAAGCUUCUGUUUUCUUCGAUUUAGUACAAGAAGUUGAUCUCUGAGUCUCUGUGAAUGUUGAAUGUUUUUGGUGCAGGGGUGCGAUGAAGAUCAAGGGUAGUCUCAGUGCGGCGCAGAAGUUCACCCCUGACAUUUUCCCCAAGCCUUCAAAGCUGUGAACACAAUAAGAAAUGGUACUAGCAGACAGACCCCUUUGACUCAGGCUCAAUUUAUGUCUCUUUCAAAGGGUUUGAGAGCUGGAUUAUUAAAAUGCAAUGUUUAAGAACUAGUCCCUAGACAAUAAAGGUCUCUUCUAAGUAUCGUUGUAUGUUUCUGGUUCAAUUGGUGUUUGGUUUAAUAAUAUUAAUACUUUUGCUUUGAAAUAGAUUUCUAUGUUGUCUGAACUUGCAAGUGUGUGUGUCAACGCCUUUAUUUCCUACAAGUAAAAGUCAACAAAAUUCAUGCAUGGAAGAGUAAUUUGCUAGACUCAUUUCAAGGAGUCUGUUGGUGUAAGAAAAACAAAACCAAAAUGGUUUGUAGAAAAGAAAAAGGUUUUCACUUGUGAGACAGAGCAAGCUUCUUGAAUUUAAGAAACAAUCUGUGAUAGCUUUGUGUUUGCUUCCUCUGACUCUUGUGCCUGCUUGCUUAGCUCGUAGUAAUCUUCUACAGAGAUUAUGAUGCUUCUUGGUGAAUUGUUAAUCUCAUCAAAAUCUCUGAGAACAUUCAGUCCCUUGCAAAGCUUUAAUAGCAGCCAAGGUCAACUUCUCUGAAGCUCUAUCAGCUUUCAUCUCCAUUUUCGCCUCCAUUAACCUAUUCUCUAUUAUAGACAUUCCGGUUUUCGCUUGUUCGGCCAAGUCUUUCGCCAUUCUAAACGUUCCAUCCUCUGCUUCUUUUUGUUGCCUGCUCCAACUUCUUGGCUGUUUCCACCAUAUCCUCUCUUGCUGCUUCAUCUGUUGUCCGGACCAAACUUGUCCUUUCCCUCUGCUUUGUUUCUGCUAGAUCUUGUCUCUCUCUUACAAGCGCAGACUGUAAUGAUCCAGUGAUUACCUUCAAUGUUUUUACAUCCACUGCUGCUUUCUCUGUUCACAGUAUCAACAGCUGCAUGUAUUUCCUUACUAGAGCUUGAUGUUAGGAGUUUUUAAAGCUCCUAAAACAAAUGAUGUAUUAUAAAAGAUUGUCGAACCAGUUCUGAGGGAUAUCAAAGCACCGAAAAUACAAGUACUAACUUAAUCUAAGUGCAACCAAUGAUUUAGAUGAUUUUAAACUACUACUAAUACUAGAUAGCAAUAACAGAAUGAUACUUUCUUGACUAAGGGAAAAGAGAACUCAUGGGCAUAGGGAUUAGACCUUGUGUGAUCAAGUUUCGAACUAAAGAUGGCAAAUGAUCAAUCAAACUAUCGACCUUAAGCCUAAACACAAUUCUAAACAAGCUCUAUAUCUAGAUGAAUGCUCAUUUGCUAACAUAUCUCAAACAUCAAAUGUCUUUGGUUGAAUAAUAUGAAAGCAAUCAUUACUAACAAGUCUAUUAGCUAUCUUAGCACCUUUAAGAACAAAUGUUUUUGGCAAAGUAUACUAAAAGCCUAUGAGAGUUGUCUCAGGCAUUUCAUCAAACACCUUUUGGGUGGGAAAUGCCUAUUGAUCAACUUUUGAGUGGCCAACUCAGAAGAUGCAUUAUGAAUACUCUACUAGCAAGGAACAAGAAUGAUCUACACUAAAACAUCCUAGAACUAACCUAAUCACCCUUAAUCUCCCUAACCCAUGAAUUCAAAAGGUGAUUACUCACUAAUCUCCAUGAUUCCUCUUAAACCCAUAUUGGAUUUCAGAUUAAUCAUGUAGAGGAAUAGAUAAGAAAUCAACAAGAACACAAGAUGAAAGCAAUGAAAUCUGAAUCAAAAGAAGUUUUCUAGUUGUUUUCUAGAAAAGAGAUUCUCUGCCUCCAAUGGCUUACAAAAGUACUUAACUUAGGUUUAGGCAAUGUAAAACAACAAAACAAAUGACCAAAAGGCCCCUGAAAUAACAUAAAAAUCGUCCAAGCAAAACACGCGGAGCGACCUAGCAUAGCCGCUCCAGGAGGUCGCUCCCGACGCGUUUCUUCGUGUCUCGCCCUGUUAAAACGCGAGCGACUUGAGCUGGUCGCUCUGGCUGGAGCGACUUGAGAUAGUCGCUCUGGGCUGGUCGCUCUGGCUGGGAGCGACCUUGGUAGGUCGCUCUGAGAGGUCGCUCCAGGAUGCUCGAACAUGGUGGAUAUGCCUUUAGUAAAUUGGUCAUAACUCCUUCAUUACAUCUUCAAAUGACUAGAAACCACUUCCAUUAGAAAGCUAACUCAAUUUUCUGUGUCCACAAAAUCUUAGCAACAGAAGAUUUCUCUAAAGGCUCCAUCCAUGCUCAUCUUUCACCCCCUUUUGGAUCACAAUGCUCCCAAACAUCUCAAAUCACUCCAUGGCACACUCCAACACCUAAUAAGGACAAUGAAUGCAAAAUGCAACCUAGACAUGGCUAAAUCCUAAUCUAUAUGAUGAAAAUGCUCAUGGAUGAAUGGAUAAAACAAUGAAAAUAUACAAGACAUCAACUCCCCCAAACUUGCUCUUUACUUGUCCUCAAGUGAUCAAUUCAAAUUCAUGGAAGAGAGACAAAUAGCAUAACCUCACUCUUUAGUCUACUCUAGCUUCUCAAAGCCUAGUGAAACUCAUACCUCUACACAAGUUGCCGGAUCAUCAAUUAACAAGCGCCUUAACCAGCUCUCACAUUAAAUUAAGCCCAAUGCAAACAAGUGAAUUCUUGCAAAUGGAUAAUUGAUCCUAGUCAUUUGGCUUGGUGAACAAGGGUUGGUUUCAUGAGAAUGAAAGAAGGGUUUCCAAAGCAUUUUUUCUAGCUAUCACUCAAAAACAGGAACAUGAUCAUUAUGCAAAAUCUAUCUAAGAAAAAAAACAACUGAUGAAUACAUAGAUUGGUUCUCAUCCUUCUACCAUUUUCUAAGUGACAUCAAACUCCACAAACCCCCUUUUUCACCCGAUAAACAUUCUUGCUCUCUCUCUUUUUCUUUUUCUUUUAACCACUAGGGACUCAAUAUCUUUCUCAACACUUAGCUCUAACAUUUCCUUAUUCACUCUCUUUAUUUUUUUUUUAUUUUUUUUUCUUCUUUUUUUUUUCUUACAACACUUUUCUUAUCUAGAGCUUUCUCUCAUUAACCUCUCUUGUCCCUAGGGUCUUUCUAUCUUUUGACUUCUCUUUAGUCAUCUUUUCCUCUCUUUUUUUUCACUUCCCAAACCCAAGAUAAAAGAACUUAGAGUACACAAACUCACCCACCAUCCUAGAUGCUAGCUCAAAUGACGUUCCUAUUGCAAGCCAAAGAUGAGAACAAACCUAUGUCGCUCCCAAUACUCUCAAGAUUUUGCACAGGACAAGCUAUCAAGAAGAGGCCUCACUCGAGCAAAUCAAUGUUGGUCUCAAAUAAUGGUAAGGGUUUAAGGGUGUGGAGUGCCAUUUGGGUUAACAAAAAGGUAAUGAAUGGAAUAAGAUAACCCAAAUGUGUAUGAGAUCCAUGACUAAGUAUGCAAAUGCCCAUAUGCAAGAGAGAUUAGAUUCAUUAAGUUCAGGUUCAUUUGGAGCUGGUUUCAAGGCUAUAUAAAUCUCACACAGCACAACAAGUUUCGAGCGGAGCUUUCAAGGCACAAAGCAUACAAGUUUUCCAAGAGAAGUUUAAGCUAUAAGGCAAUCCCAAUCAUUGUUCCAAAUGCAACAUGAAUGCAAUCCUAGAUGCUGUAGACUCAAUCCUAAGGAUGCAAAUGAUGUAACUACAUGCUUGCUUUUGGUUUUUUUUUUCUAUGCAAAUAUGUAUGUAUAAUGCAAUGCAUGAGACUCAAAAUCAUCAAAGCAAACAUGAUCAAAUACUUGGUACCUCCCCCACACUUAAAUCACACAGUCUCUGUGUGAGUGAGAGAGAGAUACCCAAAAGACAACUAAAAUGCAAAAUAUAAACUGGUAUAUACAAGGGAGUGUGGUGGGUUACCUUCUAUGGGGAAUGAGUAGAGGGAGAUGCUCCCUCCUCGUCGUCCUCAGGUGGUAACUCUUCAAGGUGCUCAUCAGCAGGAGUGUCCAUCUCUUCAAUGUAGAAGGCUUGCCCGAACACAGUUGGUUUCCUCAUUUUCUCCUUGAUGUCAAAGUGGAGGAUGUUCUCUUUACCCAAAUGGAGAUCAAUCUUGUCUUCCUUCACAUUAACAAUAGCUCCUGCUGUAGAUAAGAAUGGCCUUCCUAGAAUCAAUGGGUCUUGAGCCUCCUCACCCAUCUCAAGCACCACAAAAUCUGUAGGUAUCUCAUACCUUCCAAUCUUCACAGGGAGGUCCUCUAAGAUGCCCACAGGGUACUUCACUGAACGAUCAGCUAACACCAGAGAGAGUCUACACUUCUUGUACUGAGUGAAUCCAAGCUUCUUUGCAACAGACAAAGGCAUCAAGCUGACACUAGCUCCCAAAUCGCAGAGACAUUUCUCAAAUACCAUAGGUCCAAGAGCACAAGGUAGUGUGAAGCAUCCUGGAUCCUCUAACUUCUCUGGAACAUCAAGCCUCUGGAUGAUGGCACUGCACUCAUGGGUAAGAAUCAUCAUGCCUUCCAUCUCCUUCUUCUUUGCAGCUACAACAUCUUUCAGGAACUUGCUGUAUUGAGGAAUCAACAUGAAAGCAUCGAUGAUGGGCAUUGCAACCUGAGCUUCACUCAUUUGCUUCUCAAACAGAGCCUUGUACUUCUCUAGCAGCUGCUUCUUGAAUCUACCAGGGAAUGGAAGUUUGGGUUCAUAGGGGGGAGGAACAGAAGAAUUCUCACUUGCUGGAACAGCAGCUUCACCAUCUUGUAUUGUUUUCUUCUCUUCUCCAACCUUUCCUUUACCUUUAGCUUCCAUAAUCUUCUCCAAAAUCUCAUCAUUGGUCUUCUCAUCAACAAUUACCACAUCAUCAUCUAAGUUGAUGGCCACCUGCUCACCUAGUUUUCCAGCAUCCUUGGUGAGGGUUCUAGGAGGUAACUGCUUACCACUCCUAAAGGUGAUAGAUUUGGCCUCCUUGGGGUUUUGGUCAGAUUUUCCAGGUAGAGAUCCUUGCUGGCGGUUCUGGUGAGUGUUCAUGGAAGCAAACUGAUUCUCUAAAUUCUUGACUGUAGAAGCAAGAUGUGAGAAUUUGUUGUUGAGCUCAUUGUAGCUCCCAUCAAUCUUGGAAUGAAGGUUCUUCAACUCAUAACCAACAUGCUUCUCACUUCUAGUCUGAGACUCCAAGAUUUGUUUCAGUAAGGUAUCAGUGCUGCUCUCUUGAGGAGCAGAGGAACCAGACGAGGGGUUUUGCUGAGGCUGAUAGCUGCCUUGCUGGUUGUUUCUAGGCGGAUAACCACUCUGUUGGUUGUUGGGAUAGGAUUUCUGUUGGUAGUUGUUGUACUGAAAGUUGGGCUCUUUUUUGUACCAGCUACCAUUGUUGUUGAUGAAACACAGCUCUUCCUGACCUUCCAAACCCUCAACCUCAUGGACAACAGGUGGAUCUUCCUGCUUGGAGUUACCAACAAACUUCAGCUGCUCUUGGGUGGCUUUUUCAGCAAUGAGUAGGUCGAUCUUGUCUUCCAAAGCUUUGAUCUCUUUCCUCGUCUGCUUAUCAUCACCCCUACUGCCUCUGUCGUGGUCUGCACUGUAGACUGCAUCACUCUUCACCAUGUUGUCAACCAGCUCUUCUGCAUCAUCUUCAGUUCUUCCCAAGAAGAACCCAUUGCUAGUUGUAUCCAAUCUGGCUCUGUACUUAGGAAGGGCACCUCUGUAGAAGGUACUGAGCAAGCUCUCCUUAGAGAAACCAUGAUGUGGGCAUUUGGUUUGAUAGCCUUUGAAUCUCUCCCAGGCUUCACUGAAUCCUUCCAAGUUCUUUUGUUGGAAUCUGGAGAUCUCAUUUCUCAGCUUAGCAGUUCUUGAGGAUGAGAAGAAUUUCUCCAAGAAUGCUCUCUUGCACUCAUCCCAAAUAGUGAUGGAUUCACUGGGUACAGUCUUCUCCCACUGGCGUGCCUUAUCCCCCAAAGAGAAAGGGAAUAGCUUGAGCUUGAAUGCGUCUUCGAACACUCCAUUGGUUUUUGACAAUCCGCAGUAGCUGUCAAACAUGUCCAAGUGAUCAAAAGGAUCCUCUACAGGCAAGCCAUGAUACUUGUUGUUCUCGAUCACGUUGAGGAGUCCUGGUUUGACCUCAAAGUUGUUGGCUUCCACUGGUGGAGCGCGGAUACCUAACCUCUGACCAUUGAUGUUUGGACGAUCAUAGGUAUCAAUGGCCCGAACUAGUCGCGGUUGGUGUUGUGGCUGUUGUGGUUGUUGUUGUGGGGGAACCCCUUCUGGUAACUCAGCCAUAUCAAUAUUCAACCUCGGUAAUUGAGCUUGUUGCUCUUCUUGUCUUCUUUUUCUUGAUAUCUCUCUUUCAAAAGCUCUGAUGUCUGCAACUCUUGAAACUAGGUUUGUUGUGCCUCUGCUCCUCAAGUUCAUACACCUGAAAUCCAAAGAGAAAGGAAGAUAUAGAAUCAGUGACAGGAAAAAAAAGAAGAAAAAAUGACUUAGUCUCAAGCAAGUAACUAAAUCUCAAUGUUUAAAUCUACUCAGAAUUUGGCAACGGCGCCAAUUUGAUGUUAAGAGUUUUCAAGGCUCCUAAGACAAAUAAUGUAGUAUAAAAGAUUGUCGAACCAGUUCUGAGGGAUAUCAAAGCACCGAGAAUGCAAGUACUAACUUAAUCUAAGUGCAACCAAUGAUUUAGAUGAUUUUAAACUACUACUAAUACUAGAAAGCAAUAACAGAAUAAUACUUUCUUGACUAAGGUAAAAGAUAACUCAUGGGCACUAGGGAUUAGACAUUGGGUGAUCAAGUUUCGAACUAAGGAUGGCAAAUGAUCAAUCAAACUAUCGACCUUAAGCCUAGACACAAUUCUAAACAAGCUCUAUGUCUAGAUGAAUGCUCAUUUGCUAACAUAUCUCAAACAUCAAAUGUCUUUGGUUGAAUAAUAUGAAAGCAAUCAUUACUAACAAGUCUAUUAGCUAUCUUAGCACCUUUAACAACAAAUGUCUUUGGCAAAGUAUACUAAAAGCCUAGGAGAGUUGUCUCAGGCAUUUCAUCAAACACCUUUUGGGUGGGAAAUGUCUAUUGAUCAACUUUUGAGUGGCCAACUCAGAAGAUGCAUUAUAAAUACUCUACUAGCAAGGAACAAGAAUGAUCUACACUAAAACAACCUAGAACUAACCUAAUCACCCUUAAUCUCUCUAACCCAUGAAUUGAAAAGGUGAUUACUCACUAAUCUCCAUGAUUCCUCUUAAACCCAUAUUGGAUUUCAGAUUAAUCAUGUAGAGAAAAAUAUAAGAAAUCAACAAGAACAUAAGAUGAAAGCAAUCUGAAUCUCAAGAAGUUUUACUAGUUGUUCUCCACAAAAGAGAUCCUCCGCUUUCCAUGGCUUACAAAAGUACUUAACUUUGGUUUAGGCAAUGUAAAACAACAAAACAAAUGACCAAAAGACCCCUGAAAUAACAUAAAAAUCGUCCAAGCAAAACACGCGGAGCGACCUAGCAUAGCCGCUCCAGGAGGUCGCUACCGACGCAUUUCUUCGUGUCUCGUCCCGUCAAAACGCGAGCGACUUGAGCUGGUCACUCUGGGCUGGUCGCUCUGGCUGAAGCGACUUGAGAUAGUCGCUCUGGGCUGGUCGCUCUGGCUUGGAGCGACCUUGGUAGGUCGCUCUGGCUUGGAGCGACCUUGGUAGGUCGCUCCAGGAUGCUCGAACAGGGUGGAUAUGCCCCUAGUAAAUUGGUCAUAACUCAUUCAUUACAUCUUCAAAUGACUUGAAACCACUUCCGUUAGAAAGCUAACUCAAUUUGUUGUGUCUCCACAAAAUCUUAGCAACAGAAGAUUUCUCUAAAGGCUCCAUCCAUGCUUAUCUUUCAACCCCUUUUGGAUCACAAUGCUCCCAAACAUCUCAAAUCACUUCAUGGCACACUCCAACACCUAAUAAGGACAAUGAAUGCAAAAUCCAACCUAGACAUGGCUAAAUCCUAAUCUAGAUGAUGAAAAUGCUCAUGGAUGAAUGGAUAAAACAAUGAAAAUAUGCAAGACAUCAGAGCUUCCAUAACAGCAACUUCAGUUUCCUGAAGGCAUGAGGAAUGAGUAGUCUGUAACUGAGAAGUAUAUUUCAUGGUUCAUUGUCCCAACAAGAUAUAAGAGAAGUCGUUUGGCCGCAGUCCAAUUGUACGUCGUGGGUCUGUCAUAGACUAAAAGAGCUUAUUGACGGUGUAGGAAAUGUAUGGACAAGUUAGUAAUAAGUAUUGUAAGCUUCCUGCAAAGGCUCAGUAUUCUGUAGGAUUGCCAAUGGAGUGAAAAGAAUCUUGAUUAGGCAUGUCGGCUUGCGAUUGGCUUUGUAUUUGUCAUGUGUGUCCGCUCUUAUAGAAUCUGCAAUGUAACGAAUAAAUGUAAUCCAUGACUUAUAUGAGUCACUUCAAUGCCAAGAAAAUAUGACAAGUCGCCUAAAUCUUUUAGUCAAAAACAUUGAGAAAGGGUGUCGACAAACCGGUUUAUGUGGGUUUCCUGUGAUGAUGAUAUCGUCUACGUAAAACAACAGUGCAUAAGAGUAUGUUGUCUUUGUUGUAGAUACAGAUGUAUCUGCGAGAGAGUUUGUUAACCCCACUAUGAGCUAGAAUGUGUAGAGCUCAUUGUAUCACGCCCAUGGAACUUUUGUAAGUCUAUAAAUGGUCCUCCGAAGCUUACCAAACUGUUGUUAGAUUGUCGGUGUAAAUGAAUCUGAUACGCUUGGUCAUGCCUGGUCAAAGGAGGAAGUGAGAUAAUGCUGACGUGGAGUUUGAGAGAGGCAAAGACUCUGACUGGAAUGAAUGAAGGAUUUGCUGUUAGAAGAAGCUGAAGCUUUAAAUACCAGUAAGACGUUGAGGUUGAUUACAGAGUAUAUAGGUAUCAAUCUUAACAGAAUCAUGGCGGUUGAGCCACGUAGACCUCAUCCGGUAAAUGGCCUUGCAUGAAUGCCGUUGGGACAUCUAACUGUCUCAUAGACCAUUGUGUGGCGAUACUAAAUACAGGGUCGGGCCUGAAAAAUAUUGGUCCACAAGCAAAAAGAUAUUUUUGGCCCUUUUGUUUCUAAAAACAGUAAAAAUAUUAAAAGUUGUGGCUGAGAAGACUUGAACUCGGGUUCCCACAAAUAUAACAAUGUUACCAAUAGAGCUACAUGCUUUUUAUGAUUAUACUUGGUCCCUAAAAUAUAUAUAUUUUCGUCAGACCCCAAGCACAUGCUUGAAGGGCUUCUAUUCAGGCCCGGCCCUGACUAAAUACAAUGUGUAUGGUAGCAAACUCGACAAGAUGGCUUAAUGUGUCUUGGUAAUCAGUCCCUGGUACUCGAGUGUAAUCUGUGGUGACCGAACGAGUCUUGUAUUAUUCGAUAGAAGCAUUCGCUCUGUGUGUGAUGAUAAAAAUCCAGCGGCAACCUAUAACAUUGAAUCUUUAAAAAAAAAACUACAACAUUGAAAGAACGAGAAAUGUUAGUGAGAUUCCAAGCGUGAUUUUUAAUUCGAAAAUUAAUCUCUUCAGUCAUGGCUUUUCGCCAAUAAGGUGAUUUGAGUGUUUGAACAACGGUAAAUUGUUAGAAGACUUAAAAGACGAAGUUUUGAAAUGCAACUUAUGCAUCUUAUUAAUAGGGUAAACAAAACAUGACAAUGACAAUUUAUCAGAGGUCCCCGGUUUGAGUGACCGGUGGGAUGAAACUAAUAUUACAUGUUGUGGUUUUAAACUGGGAGAGAUUAGGGUUUAGGCCGAACCUCUUGGUAAUUCAAAAAAUAAAAAUAAAAUAAAAUAAUAUGCAUUCGCUUGAAAACUCUUUGAAGCUAGACUCCAUGGCGGUACGAAGCAUGGAGGAACCAAGAGAGUUAUCAGGGUGCUGUCUAGGACGGAGAGUCGGAAUGAUGGACUGUACGGAUCAUGGCGCAGGGCCGCAGGCCAUAACAAGUCAAGAUCGAAACAUUUCAGCAACACUAGUUUAAAAAAAAAAGAACAUUUCGCAAUACAUGUAAGGUAAACUAAAAAACUUGCUAAACACUAUUUGAAUGUAUAUGAAAAUACUUAAAAGUAUCAAGAUUAAUAAAAAAAAAAUCUCUGUGAAAAUUAUCCAAACUCUCCAUAAUCUAAAGUAUCAAAAUUACUGAGUUACUAUGCCAGAAAUUAAUGAGAUUAGUUAACUUUACGUACUAAGUUAUAUGAACUAGUCCAAGUGUCAACAUUGAUAUGUUUAAAACAUGAAAACAUUUAUAAUAUAGCAAUUGAAUAAAAUUAAACCAAAAAACUAAGUUUUCUUUUUCUUGUUGGUAAAAAAAAGAACUACUAAAGUUUGAUUGAUAUAGUCUAUACUAAUAAAGUAGUAAAUAAUGUUAACAUUAUACUGUAGGAAAUCAUAUUAAAAACAUAUCAAAAACUUUUUUUAAUUUAAUGCUUCAUAUUAAAACAAUAGAAAUUGAUAUUUGGUGAUUUUUAAAAAUAUUGAUAAGUAUUUUUUUAAUAUUCAAAGCGUAGACGAAAAUUGAAAACGAGAAAAGGUGGAUCACGAGGAAACGACGAAAUAAAGCCCUUUUGCCCCGUCAAACUCUUCUUCCUUUAGCCAUUUUCUUCUUUCCUCAUUUGAAUUUCGUUUCUUUCUCCGCAAGACGAUGAUGGUUGAUCAUCCAUCCACUCUCCAAUCGAAUUGACUUUAAUCGAAUCUGGGGCCAAAUGAACGCCGUGGGUAGGAUCGGGAGCUACAUCUACCGAGGCGUAGGCACGGUCUCAGGUCCGUUCCACCCCUUCGGCGGCGCGAUCGACAUCAUCGUCGUCCAGCAGCCCGACGGCUCCUUCAAAUCCUCCCCCUGGUACGUCCGAUUCGGCAAAUUCCAAGGGGCUUUGAAGAACAAGCGCAACCUCAUCAAGAUCGACGUCAAUGGCCUCGAUUCGCCUUUCAACAUGUACUUGGCCCACACAGGCCAAGCCUAUUUCCUCCGAGAAUCCGAUGACGUCAUCGGAGACUCCGAGACCGCCGAGGUUUACAAUUUAUCUUCCGGCGACGAAGGUGAUGGUGAUGACGGUGAUGGUGAUGAUGAUGAUAAGGUUAAGUUGCCGUUGAAGUCUAAGAGCUGUAACUAUGAUUGUCCUAGUAAGCCUGGGAUUCUAGGGUUUGUGUUUGGUGGUAGAUCGGUUAGGGAGAGCAAGGUGGAGGAUGGUGUUGUUGGAAGCGAGGAGAAGAUGGUGGAUAGUGAUUUGAUAUUGGAGACUCCUCUUGUUGCCUCUCCUACGUUGCGGUAUUUGGAUGAGAAAGAGCAGGACUUUCGUGAGAGUAACAAUGUGGAUGAUUAUUGUGAAGAGAAUGCUAUUCUUGUUGAUAAUGGUUCUACUAGUACUGUGUUCUCUAUUGCUAGUGAAGGUAGUGGGGAAGUAGAUGUCUGUGUGGAAUCAAAUGAGCCGCUAGCACAGGUUAGUCCUUUAUUGAAUCUCGUUUUGUUGGUUAUGGUGUGAAUGGGACUGAUGUCAUUGUAUGGAUUGUAUCUGCAUUAGGAUUCUAAGAAAGAAAUGUUAAGUGUUCCUGAAUCUGUGGAGAGUGUAGCUGCUGACCAAGUUGAUUUAUGGAGCAUUGGCACUUCUCAAGAAGGGAGCAGUACUGGCUCUCUUGUUCAAGAUGAGAGUAAAACCACUACGGGAGAUGAUUUUGAGAAGUCUCAGUCAACAAGCGUCCUGCAACCGGAGAUGAAAGAGGAACAAUUUUCAUUUAGCGAUCUUGACGAUUGUAAACCUGCUGAGAGUAGUUCUGGAGGGUCGAAUUCUCCUCAUACAGUAAAAGUUGAUGGGAAAGAGGACUCAAAGGUCUUGUCAGAGGCGGUUGACAUAGAGAGGAAAAAUGAUGUCUCUGGAGAAGAGGUUGACCGGUUGGUUGAAUCAUUACCGAUUAUGCGGCUUCACGACAAUGAUGAUAUGGAUGCCAGUCCUUGUCAGCCUAUGAGCCAGUCAUUUGACCCAUGUUCCAAUACUUCCAAGUGGGAUUUGAGAGAAGAUGAGUCGUCCUCGAGAGGUUUAGAUGCAGAAAGCGUUGCUGAGAGUAGCCCAAACUUUAAGGCGUUCACACAUGUUAUCGCUAAUCCUGAUGUGGGUAAGGGAAUAUUACUUACUUUACUUUUAUAAACUCCUUAGAUAUGAUGUGGGAUGCUAUAGUCUUUAACGUUUGCUCCAUUCUCAGUCGAGCUCUCUUUCUGCAAGCACUUAUUACGUGAAGGAAUGGGAGCAGAAGCGGCUUCUCAAGCCUUCAAGUCAGAAAAACUGGAUAUGGAAACCUUUGCUUCUUUGGGCCCAUCAGUGUUGGAGAAUGAUAAGCUAAUAUUGAAGAUUGGUGGCUGCUAUUUUCCAUGGGAAGCAGCAGCUCCUAUUAUCUUAGGAGUGGUUUCAUUUGGGACUGCCCAAGUAUAUGAGCCUAAGGGGAUGAUAGCUGUUGACCAGAAUGAGAAACCUGGUGAUGCAUCAACUCCGGAGGGGGGAAGCUGGAAUCUUUGGCCUUUCUCUUCGAGAAAAUCAAAGAACGAUACUGAAGUCUCUUCUAAAGACGCUGGUGAACCUGAGGAGAAACAACAAGAGAAGCCGCUGCCAAGACCAGUUAAAAAGAUGGUCAGGGCAUUAGCUCCAACUUCUGAACAAUUGGCUUCUCUAGACCUGAAAGAAGGGAUGAAUACUGUGAAUUUCACUUUCUCCACCAAUAUUGUGGGUAUUUUAUCCUUUUUACUACGACAUGUAACUAUGAAGAGUUCCCACUUGGUGUUCACAAACUCAUUAAUUUGACAGGUAGACGCGAGGAUUUACUUAUGGAAAUGGAAUGCUCGGAUAGUUAUCUCAGAUGUAGAUGGUACCAUCACAAGGUAGAGGAUUCACCUUUGGUUUUCUAUUAUGUUUCUAGUUCUUUUCCUAAUUUUCUCUAUGUUUGAUAGAUCGGAUGUCUUAGGCCAGUUUAUGCCUUUGGUUGGAAUAGAUUGGUCGCAAACAGGUGUUACACACUUGUUUUCUGCUGUUAAGGUAUGUUCUAUGUGCUUUUCUGGUUCUUACUGUUACAAAUGGAAGCAAAAGAUUCAUUUUCUCUGCCUUAACAUUUCCACAGGAAAACGGAUAUCAGUUGAUGUUUUUAAGUGCACGAGCGAUUUCUCAGGCCUCAAUCACAAGACAGUUUCUAGUUAAUCUCAAGCAGGUAAAACCAAACAAAAAACGCAUUCAUAAAAAUCGAGAAUCUAGCCAACUUUGUUAAUCAUAAAGCUAGCAAAUGCCAGGAUGGGAAAGCAUUGCCGGAUGGGCCUGUUGUUAUAUCUCCUGAUGGCGUCUUUCCUUCUUUGUAUCGUGAAGGUAGAAUCUGUUUACUCCUCAGAUUAUCAAAAAACAUUGAGUUUCUCAUGAUUUGUUUCUUUCUCUACAGUAAUUAGAAGAGCACCUCAUGAAUUCAAGAUUUCUUGCUUGGCGGUUAGUUAGUUUUGUGCGGUUUCUAUCUCUUGAAACUCUUUAUGUCCUGAGAACUGCUAUAUAACUGUUUUUUUUUACUCUUUUGAACAGGAGAUACGAGCGUUGUUUCCUCCUGAACACAACCCAUUCUAUGCUGGUUUUGGAAACAGAAAUACGGAUGAGAUAAGCUACCAAGACCAGUUAAAAAGAUGGUCAGGGCAUUAGCUCCAACUUCUGAACAAUUGGCUUCUCUAGACCUGAAAGAAGGGAUGAAUACUGUGAAUUUCACUUUCUCCACCAAUAUUGUGGGUAUUUUAUCCUUUUUACUACGACAUGUAACUAUGAAGAGUUCCCACUUGGUGUUCACAAACUCAUUAAUUUGACAGGUAGACGCGAGGAUUUACUUAUGGAAAUGGAAUGCUCGGAUAGUUAUCUCAGAUGUAGAUGGUACCAUCACAAGGUAGAGGAUUCACCUUUGGUUUUCUAUUAUGUUUCUAGUUCUUUUCCUAAUUUUCUCUAUGUUUGAUAGAUCGGAUGUCUUAGGCCAGUUUAUGCCUUUGGUUGGAAUAGAUUGGUCGCAAACAGGUGUUACACACUUGUUUUCUGCUGUUAAGGUAUGUUCUAUGUGCUUUUCUGGUUCUUACUGUAACAAAUGGAAGCAAAAGAUUCAUUUUCUCUGCCUUAACAUUUCCACAGGAAAACGGAUAUCAGUUGAUGUUUUUAAGUGCACGAGCGAUUUCUCAGGCCUCAAUCACAAGACAGUUUCUAGUUAAUCUCAAGCAGGUAAAACCAAACAAAAAACGCAUUCAUAAAAAUCGAGAAUCUAGCCAACUUUGUUAAUCAUAAAGCUAGCAAAUGCCAGGAUGGGAAAGCAUUGCCGGAUGGGCCUGUUGUUAUAUCUCCUGAUGGCGUCUUUCCUUCUUUGUAUCGUGAAGGUAAAAUCUGUUUACUCCUCAGAUUAUCAAAAAACAUUGAGUUUCUCAUGAUUUGUUUCUUUCUCUACAGUAAUUAGAAGAGCACCUCAUGAAUUCAAGAUUUCUUGCUUGGCGGUUAGUUAGUUUUGUGCGGUUUCUAUCUCUUGAAACUCUUUAUGUCCUGAGAACUGCUAUAUAACUGUUUUUUUUUACUCUUUUGAACAGGAGAUACGAGCGUUGUUUCCUCCUGAACACAACCCAUUCUAUGCUGGUUUUGGAAACAGAAAUACGGAUGAGAUAAGCUACCUUGAAGUCGGAAUCCCCCGGGGAAAGAUCUUCACUAUUAACCCCAAGGUACCCAUCCUUAAAAUCUUAAACACAUUACUUAGCAACGUUUUGUGGAACAAGUUAUGCCUUAGGUCUCCAUCUCUCUAUUGCUUGUUUGCGUUAGUUUUGUCUUUCAAAUUAAACAAUGACUUCAAAGUGUUUUGCUCAACUUACAGUCUGUAAGUUUGCGUUUGGCGUUUUCAUUUAGGCUUUGUAGACGUAUUGUGUAGGAAACACUGAAAAUGUAAACGCAAACGCGUAAAUUGGCACUGAAACAAUUGUAAUCUUGCAGGGGCAAGUAGCUGUGAAUCGUAGGGUGGAUACAAGGUCAUACACAAAUCUUCAUGCUCUUGUCAAUGGAAUGUUCCCAGCUACAACAACCUCCUCAGAACGGGUAUACUAUAUAUUUCUAUGUUUUGUUUUCUUCUCCAAUGUUUUACUUGCGGAUUUUUGAUAGAACUUUUACAAACAGGAGGACUUUAACACAUGGAAUUUCUGGAAACUGCCUCCUCCAUCGUUUAUGUGAUGAUGAUGAUGAGGAUUGUGUUGAAGAAAAUAGAGAUUAGCUGAUAGAGAUAACAAAUGGUGGCCCAUUAUUGAUCAUAUCCAUCUUCUUUUAAAGGACACGGUAAUUUUGGUUCUUUGCUUUUUUGUCACACUGGUUUCAUAUCACAGGUUUACGAUGUAUGCGCAGUUAUACUUGUAUAUAAAUAUAUUUAAUAUGUAGACAGUGUUAUUGGAAACAUUUUGAAAUUUAGAAGAACAAUAAAUAUACAUUUACACAAAUCUUACAUAUCAUUAGAGUUUUCUGUCCAUGUAAAGUAUUCAUAUUAGCACAAUAAAAGAAAUUUGUUUCACAAAAGAAAAAAUCAUUACUAUCAACUUUUCUUUUCAUUUAAAUUCACUUAUCCAAAAAUAUUUUUAUUAAAUUAAACUAUAAAAUUUAACUAUUUAUUCAAAUAGGUUCAUUUAAUUAUUUUUCUUUUCUGAGAAAGAGUUAACAUAAUUAUUAGAAGCUUUAUGACAACAGUUUACAGUUAUAUAUUUCAUUAAAAUGAUAAAUACCAUAAGAUGCGUUACGCAAAGCAAACUAUAUGAUAUUGUAUACAUAAUUGAAAAUGUAAAUAAAAAUCAUUAAAUUAUAUAAAAUACUGGAUGUCAAAAAAAAUAUAUAUAUAUAAAAUACUGAUGUGAUCAGGUUUUAACUUUUAAUAAAAACCGCAGAGAUUGAAUCCACUAAUACCAAAGUUACACUACGGUUCUGCGAUACAGUAAGUUAGAACAAAAUGAAUGUUAUUAUGAUUUUCAAAUUACAAAACAAGUGAAGAACAAAAUGUAAAAAUUACUAAACAAUUGAAUUAAAAGCUUUAGAUAGUAGGAAAUUCUCAAGAAACAUGUCUAGUGUGCAACUAAGAACCAUUAUUGAACUCAAACAAGUUAACUAGAUCGAUCUUUUCCCAAAGUGAUAAACCUUAUGUAUAGGGCUAGGUAAAAUAUCCCAAAAUUUUGAUUCUCUUGGAGUAGUUUGUAACUUAUGCAAUAUCAGUAAAAAACGAAGCAAAUCACAAAUAUUAUACUUUUAGAAAGAGAUAUCAGAUCAAAUAUGUUAUAUACAUAUAUUUAAAAAUUUAUAUAUUAUUUUAUGAAAGUUUUACAAUAUUUUAUUUAUUAAAUUAUUUAUUUUAGUUAUUAAAGUUUGAAAAGGUAAAUAAUUUUUAUUUUAUUUUGCAAUAAAAUAUUAUUAUUUUUUAUCAUUUUGGAUUUUUAUUUUACGAUUGAAUCAGAUAUCCAGUUUAAAAAUAUAAAAUUUUCCGGAUACACGGACACCGAAUAUCCAGAAAAUUAUGGAUCAAAUCGAAUCAAAUAAUUAACUAUUCAGACAAAAUGGAUUGGAUUACGAAUACUUCCCAAAAAUCCAUUUGUACUCACCCCUACUUAUAUAAUAGAAUCCUGUAGAUUAACUUCUAUUGAGUUUCAAAUUCUAAACAUGCAAAAUCAAGCUUUAUAAGUUCACAAAACUCCUAGCAGUUAACUCAUGUCGACUAGGAUAAUCAUGGUCAUCUAAGUUUUUUAACGUGUUUAGCUAAUCAAUUUCAAUGGAUUUAACAUUCUAGAUUCUAGAUAUCAUGAACAAGGUGUAUAGUCAAGUUCAAGGUUUAAAAUUAAUUUAAAUAAAUAAAAAAAACUAAACAUAAAUUUUCCUAAUCUGAGAUAUCAAUUUCAAUAAUCCAUGAGUCCUUCAAACAACCCCUAGCAUGUAAAAUUAGAUAUGGAAAUAGAAACACAGAAAACCACUGAUUAGUACACGCCAAGUUCCAUGUGCAUUCAUUAUUGAUUCCUUUCAAAAUCUAACUAGUUCAUUUUUCAGUGUCAUUUUGUUACUAUUUAGAUCCAAAUUUUACUUUUACGAAAAAAAAAAAUUCCGUUAUUAUUUAAAAUACUGCUUCCAAAUUUAAAUAAAUUGACUUAUCUUUUCCCCAAAAUUUAAUUUCUUUACUUCAACAUAAAAACUGACGGCUUAUCCAUCAUUACAAAAAAAUCCGAUCCAAUCUGAUAAAUUAAAAGAAAUGAUAAGUAGUAGAAGAAAGCAAUUCAGAUUAUCCAUGUUUUGGUUCGCUUGAAGUGGUCCGAACGAACCACAGGGAAAAUAUAUCAAAGUAUCAAACUCUUGUGCAAGUGUUCACGAUAAAAACAAAAUUAAUAGGUCACUUGAUAUUAAUUAACAAUCGCAAUAAUUAUCUUAGUGGCCCCCGCCUCCACUCAAUGACUGACUAACCAACCAUUCAGUACAUAAUACGCACAUAACUCACCCCUUUCGUCAUCACCUUCCAUUUCCUGAAUCUCAAGAUGCACACCAAUGCAGCAGACUCCGAGGUAACAAGCCUCUCUGCUUCCUCGCCCACUAGAUCUCCCCGUCGACCAGCCUACUUCGUGCAAUCUCCUCCGCGUGACUCGCACGAUGGAGAGAAAACCGCAACAUCGUUCCACUCAACCCCCGUUCUCAGCCCGAUGGGAUCUCCUCCGCACUCUCACUCCUCCUCUAGCCGCUUCUCCAAGAUCAACGGCUCCAAGCGCAAGCAACAUGCUGGAGACAGGAAGUUCGCAAGGAUUGAAGAGGAAGGUCUGCUCCAUGAUGGUGACAGAGAAGAAAAAGGUUUGCCUCGUCGUUGCUAUGUCUUAGCCUUCGUUGUUGGAUUCUCCUUGCUCUUCGCUUUCUUCUCUUUGAUCCUUUAUGCAGCUGCUAAGCCUCAGAAGCCUAAGAUCUUAGUCAAGGUUAGUGAAUCUCAGAUUAAUCUUAUAUUCAUUUAAAUAACUCAGAUCGGAUCCUAGAUCCAGAACCGGACUGUGUGGUUUAAUAUGUGAAUCGAAUUGCAGAGUAUAACAUUUGAGCAACUUAAGGUCCAAGCUGGACAAGAUGCGGGAGGUAUAGGAACCGACAUGAUCACGAUGAACGCGACACUGAGAAUGAUGUACCGUAACACAGGCACAUUCUUUGGUGUUCAUGUUACUUCUUCUCCGAUCGAUCUGAGUUUCUCUCAGAUCACAAUUGGUUCUGGAACUGUAAGUCCAAAAAAUCUUUUAAAUUUUUGUUUAACAUUUGUCUGAAUUCAUGUUCAUUAAUGUUAACUGUUGCUAUCAUCAGAUGAUUUUAGAAGCUAUUGCUUUUUGGUUUCUUCCGUUUUGAAAAAUUGACUAAACAAACUUUUGUCCGGUUCAAGCUGGAAAUAUUCGGUUCGGUUUUUAGUUUUUAGUUUGUCUUUGAUCAAUAUUGUCGGUUGAUAAUUGCUAGUAUCACAUGCAUUGGUCAGGAAAUGCACAUUCGUUUUUUAUAAUAUUUUAUUAUCGAGACAACUAUCUAAAAUAACCAAAAAAUACCAAGAAUAGCUAAAAUACCAAAACUAAAUUUUAUUCAGUCCAUUUGGGUUUGGCUUUUGAUAAAUAUAAAGUUCGUUUGUUACUUUUUGACUUUUUUUUUAAUUAUAAUUGUAGAUUAAAAAAUUCUACCAAUCGAGGAAAAGCCAAAGAACGGUGAUAGUGAAUAUGAUUGGAGACAAGACUCCUCUCUACGGAAGUGGUUCUACCUUAGUCCCACCACCACCUCCUGCACCAAUUCCAAUCAAGAGCAAGAAGAAGAAAGGACCCAUCGUGAUCGUCGAACCACCAGCACCUCCUGCUCCCGUGCCGAUGAGGUUAAACUUCACCGUUCGAUCUCAUGCUUACGUUUUGGGGAAAUUAGUUCACCCCAAGUUCUACAAGAGAAUCGUGUGUUUGAUUAACUUCGAACACAAGAAACUCAAUAAACAUAUUGCACUCACGAACAACUGCACCGUCACUUCUGUUUGAAGAUAAAAGCCAACUCUUGCAAGUCCAAGAAUCGUAUUGGGCACGUGCCAAAUUAUUGUCGGUGGGUUUAAUAUGUACUUUAAUUUAUGUGAGUGGACAACGAUCAAUGGAGAAUAUUUUUGUCAAUGAUACACUGAAUGGGAAGAUUCACAUUUUUAAUUUAUUCUUUUCUUGAAUGCGAAAUAUCGAUCUCAUUUUCUUAUACUAUAUAAAAUAAUUAUUGUGGUAAGGUAUAUUAUGUCAAAAUCUGAAUUUUCGUUUAUUUUAACAAAUUAAAUGCUUUGAUUAAUAUUACAUCUUCACAUUUAGACUUUUCACUUUUUCGUUUUAGUUCAAGUGUGAAUUUGCUAACUAACCAAGUUCACAACAACCAUGAAGAAUAUACCAUCACAAGUUGAGAAAUGAAAUCAAUAGCUAAAAAACAAUGUUUUUGAUUUUCCAAAUAUAAACAAAAUAAUGUUGUACUAUGUGUCAAUUGUUUUUAUUUAUUUAUAUAUUUAUAGAUACAUAAUAGUAUGCUACUAGAUGAUAAUCCGCACCCUGUGCGGGAUGAAAAGAUUUAAAGAAAUUAUCACUUUGAAUCAAUAGGUAUUAGAAAGUUAAUAGUUUUAGAAAGAAAUAUUAUCUAAUAAGAGAUUCAACGAAAUUGUGUAUCUCUAUUAUAAAUUAAGUUUGGAUUUAAAAAAAAAUUGUCUAUUUGUUUUGUUUAAUUGAAGUAUAUUUUGUGGAAAUGAAUCCUAAGAGUAAGCAAAGAACUUAUAUAAAAUAAAUUAUCUUCAUGCUAAGAAUUGUGUAUGUUAAAGAUAAAACGAAACAAAGGCAAUAAAUUAUUGUUUUCAUACACUAAAUUAUAAAUAUAAAAUAAAACGAAACAUAAGCAAUAUAAUAAUAAAAUAUGAAAGAAACAAAAUAUAAUAUAGGAGACUACUUUACGGAUGAGGAGAUGUAACUAUACAUGCUUAUAUUUAUAUAUGCAAGACGCGGACGGAGAUAAAUUAUAGCUAUUUGCCAUAAUUAUUUCCGUAAAAUUUCCGUAAAAUUUCCGUAAAAUUUCCGUAAAAUUAACGUAAAAUCAAUUAAAAUUGUUGUCCAAGGCAAAAUAUUUACAUCCCUUUUAUAUUCAAAAUAUUGAAUUUCGAAAAUUUACUUUGAUUGUUGCUGUGCGAAUUUAUUGGAAUAGUAUAGGAAACGAACUGAGAUUCUAGUCAACUAAAUUAAAUUCAAAAUUAGUUGCCUUUUUAUAUUUCCUUAACAUACGAAUAUUUUUUGUUGUCUUUUUCACUCCACAUCUGCAUUAUUGAGUCGCGCCUUCCUUUUUUACCUUCUGUAUGUUACCACUAAUAGACCUGUGUCAUAAAUUCCUGUUGUUCUCGGCAAUUCGGAUUGUAAUGCAUAUGUCACAAAUCCGAUCGAGAUCUAAAUAAAUCAUAUUGUAUAAUGUAUAUGUCCAAUGGCAUUUGGUUGUAAUUAUUCUAGGUCACAAAGGGUUAUUUUAAAAAGCUAGUGAGAGUGCAUUAGGUGAUGACACAUAGGAAAUGGCACUCAUGUAAUAAACACAUGAGGCCAAGGUUUAUUUCUACGAAUGUUCCUCCUUUAAUAAGAAAGAGAUAAGAUGAUAGAUGUUAAAUGAAAUUAAAUUACGCUGAGUAAUGAAUGAAAGUUAUAUGUAGAAAGAAUUUAUUGUUGAUCAAUGUUUUUUGAAGCUAUUGAAUACAUGUUAAGUUUUUAAAAUCUGACUUUUUGAAAUAGUAUAAAAUUUGUAAAAAAGAAUACAAAAAAUUAUGAUAGAAUUCAUAAGGAGAAAAUUAUAAGAUUGUUGAUAAAAUGUAAACAUGGAAUCAAUGAUAAUAUGUUCUAUAUAUCUCUACUAUAUAAAAGAAGCUAUUUUUGGAGCUUCUAAGAGUGCCAUGUCGGCUAAAAUAUUCCCGAACAAUCAAGUUUACAUGUCAGUCUCUUCCCAUACUUCUUUUCAGCUAUACCCAUUAUACAUUACGACGGCCCACAAUAUAUUUCAUAUUUUGUUAGAGCCCAAUUAACAAUACAUCUUCAAAGCUCCUUAAUUAAUCAUCCAGACAAAACUUAGAGCACCUCUCCGCAUCCUCUCUCUCUCUCAAUCGACAAUAGCUAUGUCUCUUCAAAUUACCUUCAUUACUCACACAUCCCCCUCUUCAAAAAAAAAUAUCUCCAUAAAAAUAAGAAUCCGAACAGAACGGAAACAACCUCACGAAUAAGCUUCCUGUAACAAGAACACAAAAAAAAAAUCAAGGGCUGAAUCAAGAGCUUUCAUCAUGGCCGAAAGAGAAAGAGAUUGAAAGACAUAGAGGGGGUUGAAUCCAGAGAGGUUGAAUCGUAACAGAGGUUGAUUUGAGUCAAGCUCUGUAUGUAGAUCUUAUGAAUUAUCACGACUGAAAGGUUGAAUCGAAGAAAGAGAUGAUUGUUGCAAGCGUGACGGUGGUGGUCACGACUCCGGUGAAGACUGAGACAGACCAAGACGGAUCUGAGAAGCGAUGGUGGUGGAGGUGGUGACAAGCUAUGGCGGAUGGGAGAGAUGGCGAUCAUGGUGGUGGUGACGAGCGACGAUGUUACCGUCACUGCAACUCCGACAGAAGCUCCUUCGUGGCUUCGUCUUCUCCUCCACUAAUACUCUUCAAUCUCAAUUUGAGAACCCAAAUCACGUUAGCAACACCAACACAUACGUGAACAAAAAAAAAACCAAAUAUUUUGGUGCCAAAUGUGUUUUUUUCACCAAGUAUUUGGCGCUCAUAAGUGUUAGAGGGAUAAAAAUUAGAUUUUUGACUGCUCGCUUCAUAAAAAUCCUACAAAAUACUGUAUAGCAUUGAUUUAGCGCUACAAUAGAAUGAGACAUCCCAGCUAGCCACUUUUAGUAGCAGUUUGUGAAUUCAUGCUACCGUGAUAUGCUAUCAAUACCUACAUUUCUUGCAGUGUACAUAAUAAAUUAUCUUAUUAUCGUUAGGUUUUGUUUACAUCAAAAAAUGUAAAUGGUUUGUUUACUUUACACUUGGUGUUCUGCAUAAAUAUAAAUGAGCACCUUAUGACAGUCAUUGUACAACAGUGAUUAUAUAUUUUCCAGUCUCAAGUCUUAAUUGAUGUGAUUCAAAUCCGACUUUGGUCUGAGUUUGUCAUUUAGUUGACCUAUGUUGUGGGAGCCUAUAUUUUUUUUUUAUGUAUUGUAGGUACCAAACACAAGGGACAUAUUUAAGCUCACAAGCGGGUAAUCGACCUCUUCAGCUCUUUGGAAGUAAUGAAGCAGAUCACUUCAUCACUAUUGAGCCUGGUAUUGAGGAAAAGUUCAACAAAAAUGUUUCUUAGUACAUGUGGUUUAGUUUACAAAUUGUCUUUGAAUUUCUACGACUUUGUCUUCACUUCCCAAAUCAAUAAAUGGGUCUUCACUUCCUAGAUGAUUGACCAAAUAAAAUAAAACUAUAAGAACCCAAAGAUUAACAUUAAAAACAGGUUUGAGUUGAACUUAUUUAUUGUAAUAUUAAAAGAACUAAUUUCCUUGAUUUUAAAGAAUUCCACGAGCAUAUAAAAAUAAUAUAGUAAAGAUAAUUAUUAUGUCAAAUUUAUUGUUAAGAUUUGCUACAAAUAAAACUCUCAGUAGCACUCAAAGUUUAAACAAUAAAAUAGUUCAUAUUACUAUGACACACUCGAGAACAAUUUAUAUUACCUAAGAAUGAUUCCUUAUAGUAUCCAAACAAGAUAUCUCAUUUAAAUUUAUACUAAUCUAUUUACUCUUUUUUCUUUUGUUAUUACAGAAACUUUUCUUUGUAACAACACUAAAAACUUCCUUCUACUUUAACACCAACAACAUUGACAUCAUACAAAGCUUUAUGUGGAGAAAAAAACUAAACUCCCAUACACGAAGUCAUCGCUCUACUUUAGAUCUUACAACAACGAAAUGAUGAGGACCUCAAGUCAGUAGCUGGACCACCAGCUCAUGAGAUCAACCAUACAAGCUACACUGGAGCCAACAGCGACAUAGGUGCAUUCAAAGAAGGAUAUCUCUGUGACCAUGAAGAGUUUAACUGUGAAACCAGUUGCUAUAGAUUCUCAACUCAACCAGAGCACGCCGCAAAUUGGUUUCAUACCAAAAGGAGUAAUGGUUUAUGAGAUAUGUCAUUUAUAAGUCAGGCUAUCUAUACUUCAUCCAAAUUGAUUCUUUUUAAGGAAAGUAAUUCUGCAACUCAAACUCACGUGCAGAAACCAAGAGAUCAUUCAUUACAUAGAAGACCACUUGGAGAUUUGUUGGUAUUCAAACAACAAAAUUUGGUUGCAACAGAACUUUUUAAUCAAUUAUCCGCGCGUAGCGCGGACGACUACCUAGUUAUCAUAAUGAUUGCUUUUAAAAAUUCAGAUCAUGUUAUAUGUUUUGAAUAUUUUUGGGUAUUUAGUUUUAGUUAUUUAAAGUAUUUUCAGAAUGUGGAAGCACCACAACCUACUGGUUAAGGUUUAAAGGUUUCUACACCCAGGUCUGGGGUUCGAAUCCAAGACUAUGCAAUUUCUUGCAGAAUACAGAAAAUCCAGAUUUCAAGUUCCGGAGAGAGCGAUUUAUUAAACAAUUAUGCAGACUACACGAAAGAAAGGCUUACAAGUUAUCUUCAACAUGGUGCAAGUAAAUCUGGUCAGGCGUGAAUUUUCAUAGAACGGUUCAGGUGAUACAGUUAAGCAUAGGUCUUCAUUAGACAGAUAGUAUUGUCGGUUGUCGAAUCGUCUAUGUAAUCUUUCUCAUAUCAUAAUUGUAAUAUCCUAAUAAAUCAGCGUUAAAAAAAUAUAUUUUUUCAAAAUUAUCUGAAUGUUUUUGAAUAUUAAAUUUUAAAAUAAUUAAUAUAUAUAAAUAUAUAAUUGUGAUUGGAGUAUUCUGGUUUUGUUGGUUCAUAUUUGGUUUUCAAGUACUAAAAUAUUUGGCUCGUUUGGUUAUUUUGCCAGUUUUACUUCGGAUUUAGUACAAUUUUUUUGUGGGUUGGGUUCGAUUUGGUUCUCGGAUCUGGGUAAUCUACCCGGCCUAAAAGAAGCUAAACCGGGGUCUAAUUUAACGAACUUCCACAAUAGCGAGGAUCAAUAAAGAAAACUAAAUAUUGUUAUUUUACCCCAAAAGAAAACUGUAUUUACAAAUCAACCCCUUAUUAAUAAUACCUCAUAGUCUUUUAGGGCCGCCCUCACUCCGGGCUCACGCGAGUCGCCACACAAAUAAACCUAAACCCUAGAUCCCGAUCGGUAACCGCAAGCUCCUCGUCGGCGAGGCCUUUCACGAAGACCGCUUAAUCCUCUCCGUUACUCUUCAGGUAACUAAUUAAACGGAUCUGUUAUAAAUAAAAUAGUCACGAUUCUCGUUCGAACCAUAUAGAUUUCGUUUAUCUCUCGCUGAUCCUCGGAUCUAAGCUUAGAAUCUUUUGUUCAAAUUCUUCAUUGAAUCUCAAACCGUUAGAUGAUUUUGAUUUAUAUAUUCAGGUGACGAUUCGAACCCAUGGCGGAGCAUUUAGCUUCAAUCUUCGGCACGGAAAAGGACAGAGUAAACUGCCCUUUCUACUUCAAGAUCGGCGCGUGCCGUCACGGAGACCGUUGCUCCCGUCUCCACAACCGCCCCACCAUCUCCCCCACCCUCCUCCUCUCCAACAUGUACCAGAGACCCGACAUGAUCACCCCCGGCGUGGACCCUCAGGGGCAGCCCUUAGACCCGAGCAAGAUCCAGGCCCACUUCGAGGAUUUCUACGAGGACAUAUUCGAGGAGCUCGACAAGUUCGGCGAGAUGGAGUCUCUCAAUGUCUGCGACAAUCUCGCUGACCACAUGAUUGGCAAUGUCUACGUCCUCUUCAAGGAGGAGGACCAGGCCGCCGCCGCCCUCAAGGCUCUGCAGGGGAGGUUCUAUUCGGGGCGUCCCAUCAUUGCUGAUUUCUCUCCCGUGACGGAUUUUAGGGAGGCUACUUGCAGGCAGUACGAGGAGGAUAACUGUAACCGCGGCGGGUACUGUAACUUUAUGCACGUGAAGCAGAUUUCGAGGGAGCUUAGGAGGAAGUUGUUUGGGAGGUAUCGGAGGUCGUACCGCCGUGGGAGCAGGAGUAGGAGCAGGAGCAGGAGUGUAAGCCCGAGGCGCAAGAGAGAGCGAGGGGAUGUUAGGGAGCGUGGUGAACGUGACCGUGACCGCCAUGGGAAUGGGAAAAGAAGCAGUGAUAGGUCGGAGAGGCAUGACAGGGAUGGUGGUGGUGGUGGGAGGAGGAGACAUGGUAGCCCGAGACGUCAUAUUCGAGGAGCUCGACAAGUUCGGCGAGAUGGAGUCUCUCAAUGUCUGCGACAAUCUCGCUGACCACAUGAUAGGCAAUGUCUACGUCCUCUUCAAGGAAGAGGACCAGGCCGCCGCCGCGCUGAAGGCUCUGCAAGGGAGGUUCUAUUCGGGGCGUCCCAUCAUUGCUGAUUUCUCCCCCGUGACGGAUUUUAGGGAGGCUACUUGCAGGCAGUAUGAGGAGGAUAACUGUAACCGCGGCGGGUAUUGUAACUUUAUGCACGUGAAGCAGAUUUCGAGGGAGCUUAGGAGGAAGUUGUUUGGGAGGUAUCGGAGGUCGUACCGCCGUGGGAGCAGGAGUAGGAGCAGGAGCAGGAGUGUAAGCCCGAGGCGCAAGAGAGAGCGAGGGGAUGUUAGGGAGCGUGGUGAACGUGACCGUGACCGCCAUGGGAAUGGGAAAAGAAGCAGUGAUAGGUCGGAGAGGCAUGACAGGGAUGGUGGUGGUGGUGGGAGGAGGAGACAUGGUAGCCCGAGACGGAGCAGGAGCCCUGUUGUUGUGAGAGAAGGUAGCGAGGAAAGGAGGGCGAGGAUUGAGCAAUGGAACAAAGAACGAGAUGAGGGAGUUUAAGGGUUUCUUUUUUCUUCUCUUCGUUGGCUGUGCUGAUUUGAUUGUCUCGUAAUGGAUAUUUAUGUGUUUUUUUUAAGAACUUGAGAGUGGCAUGAGACUGGCUUUCCUUAGAUAUAAAGUAAGGUGAACUGAACUACUUUUUUCUUGUUUAGAAACUAGUUCGUGUGAGAUGGAUCCUUUGGUAGUUUUGUUGUUGUUCUUCAUGGUUGUCCAUUUUAAGUUUAAAGUUCUCUUACAAGUUUUAACUUACUUUCUUGUCCGUAGAACUUUGUUGAUUGGAUUGAGAAAUUUUGUUUCUAGGUAGUUUCAUCAACUUUGAUGUUCCACUUCUCAUGUUUGUUUUGGAUAACAUGCUGCCAAGGAUUGCAUCAAUAACAGGCCUAACAUAGUGGUUUAGAGGUCAAAUAGUAGGUACCGUUUUGUUUGAUUUCAAUUUCAGUGUGAUCUUCCGCAACGACACCUUGAGGUACACUAAUAAUCAUGUCUACCAGUAAUAUACAACCUUGCGCAGAGAGUGAACUUGGUGUCAUCUAGGCUCAGCUUAAUCUAUUUGCAAAGAAAAUACUCAAACUCCUUGCAUAUAUCAACAAAGUUGUACAAGAUUUGGUCCUUAGAAUUAUCCAGAUUCAUUUCUGAGACUUUUGUACAGAUUUGUAAAACAACCCCGACUUAGAUUUUUGACUCUUUUCCAUAACGACGCGUUCUCCUAAUCAGUGAGAAGAGACGCGGGUUCGCUGAAAGUUGAACCAUACCUUGAGGCGCAAGAAGGGUAUUGUAAUUAGAGUCGCCAGGGCUGUGUCCACUGAACGAUAUCGCAUAUAUGUCUGCCGCCUUUUCCCUGGAGAAAUGGACACCGCGAAGCUGGUGGUGGGCGAUGAUGGUGCCAUAGUGAUCAAAGACGACGUCGACUCAAAGUGGAAGGAGGAACUGUCCAAACCUCUGAACCUGUCUGAAACUGAAAAGAAAGUGAUUCAAACGCUGCAUCUUCUUGCCCUUGGAAUGAUUACGCCGCCUACAAGGCCAAGCUGAGUCGAACCGGGAGACAGUGAGUCGGGUUUGUUUGUUUGUUAUGCACAGACUUCAUCUCCUUUCUUUCUUUUGUGUAUGUUUAAUCAUCUCCAAUCUUCUAUAACCUCAGUUAAUUUACUUAAUUGACUACAGAAUAUCAAACUAGUAUUGGUCAAAAGGGUUUAAUAAACCCAACAUUUGAUGCAAGUAUUUCACGAAAUGAACACUCACCUUUUGGGUUUUCGUUUUUUUUUUUAAUCUUUUAACAACAACAAAAUAAACAAACUCGUGGUGUUGAGACAAUCCAUACAUGACUUAGGUAACUGAACGUUUUGGAUUGCCGACUUGUUCAUCUCCAUUGUCAACCUUCUGCUUCCGAGUGUAGAAGCUAAUUAUCUUGUUAUCCAGUUUAUAGUAUGCCUCCAUUCUCUUCAAUGGUUUCAUGCUUAAAUCAAUGAAAUGUACCUACAAGAGAGAGAUCCACACCUUGUGUUUAAAUGAGAUACCACAAAACAAGAAUCUGUUAUAAAUAGAUCAUACCUUGUAAUCAAACGUCUGAUUGGUCGAUUUUAGACAGACGGCAUCACAAGAAGGUGCUGAAUCAUCCCAUUCAUUCCUCAAUCGAAAACUGAUCAUAAGACUACAGUCCUUAGCAGUUGCAGCAAUCAGAUAGUCCCUGACGAUCUUCAAGCUUUCAUCUAAAGGUAAACAAUGCAGAGACUCCUCUUCCUCCUCCAACGUUCCAGCUUCUUUACAUAUAGGACAAGGCUGGUUGAUUAUAUUGUAAUAACAAUGAAUCGCUCCUUCGAUGUCUAAUUUAUCCAGCUUCUGAACUUCCAGAAGCUUAUCGAGCACUCCUGAAUCAUACACAGUAUCAGAUACCAGCUGUAGAAAGCAUUUAGUCCUGAGACCAUCGUUUGAUUGAAUGAAGCCUCUGAGUGCUUCCUCAAAGGUCUGUGCAGUUUCAGGGCUGGUUCUUCCGGUGCUUUCGCCAGAACCGCCUAACACGAGAGAACCGUUCAAGAAGACGCGGAAGUUAUUCUGUGGGAUAGAGUAUAAGGCUUUUACAGCUUUGGAGACUCUAUCUUUGGAUCCUGAGAACAGAUCAAGAGGAUCAUAUUCACUUACUUCAGAUAUCUGCAGAAGAAGAGGUGACAUACUUGUAAGACCUUUUAUCAGCUAAGUUCCAUUAAGAUUGUUAAGCAGGGCCAGACCUGAGAUUUUGGGGGCUAUAAACAUUUUUAAAAUUUCUGGAGGCUAAGGCUAAUGUUUCACUAGCCUAUGCGUAGUUCCGACCCUGUUCUUUAAGGUACAAGUUAUGUGCUAUUUACCUCGUUUUGUUCCAACUUAAGGAUUUGGUGCAUUUUGAAACGGCUGACGCGUCUUUUGAGUUUGUUUUCUUCACUGAUGAACCUUGAGGUUGGAAGAAAUCCGCAUUUGGGCUACUUCAUGGAACCAAGGACAGUGAGUUUAGGUCCAAGGACCGUAAUGAAAACAAAAAUUACCAACGAAGAAUGUACCUUUAUUUCAACACUUAAGCAGUCACCACUAGAAAUCCCUGGCACAUAUAUAGUUUUAGAAUGAUUUAAUAAAUAUAGCCAUGGACUUAGCACAACUCAUAUAGUAGUUUCUGAUGAUACCUUGAGAGAAAAGUGAAUGAUCAUUCAAAAUAAGAGCAGAGUCAUGACUGGUAUCAACAUUAGCUGCAUUAACACGCCACGGGGGACGCUGCUUAGUAACUUUCUUAUCAACAGACUCAAGAAACUCCUUGGACACAGAAACACGCACCUGCACAAAUCACAAUACUCUCUUACUCAUCAAACAAAAACCCUGAUAAGGCAAAAAGAAAAGAUCUAAAGCUUACUCCGGGGUCUAUAUGUUUAGGACCCAAGAGUGGGAUGAUCACAUCUUUUACAUAUAUUUGUUCAACAACUUCCUUGUUUGGUGAUGAAACGAGCUCCUUGUUUUCCCUCCACAGAAGCUGUUCAUCGGUUGUUAAAACAGACGCAGCACCAUUCACAGCUUUGUUGGCUUUAUCAGUCUUGGGAGCCUUCUGGAUACGAAUCACUUUCCCCACCUAAAAGAUUGGUCCACUUUAAUCACAAUCCAAAUAUAAUAUUUAUCCGAUUAAAUCAAAAGUAAACAUUUUUAACUAGACCAAAGUGAGUAGUAGUCCAUGUAGACAUAUGAUUCUGAAUCUUUUUUUGACUCAAAUAGAAGAAAAUGGACAACACUAAAAAUAGAAUCUGAAGAAAAAUUCAAAAUUUGGUACGGUGGAAGAAGGAACUAACGAAGAGAGGAGAGGAGGCAGCGUAGGCGAGGACCAGAUUGGCACCUCCUUCGCCUCGGUAGAUCCAAUCGGAUGCAUCUUUCUCCUCCAGAAUCAUCUUUCAAAAAGGAAUCAGAACCAAGAGAUAGAUCGAUCAAAUCGAGGCUUCCCUUCUUCUGUGUUUGUGGAGGAGGACUACUACUACAUCAACUCUCUGUGGGGGCUCUCUCUCUCUCUCUCUUUCUUCGUCUUUAUUUGGGUUUGGGCAGAGUCAAAAUCGAAGCUGACCUGUUGUUGAGACAGAUAGUAGCGUAUAUGUUCCUGUUCUCUGUCUACGUGGAGAGGGCAAGCUCCACCUGUUUGUGUCGUCUUACUUUAUUCUUUCUCUUUUUUCGGGUUCUUCUUUCUUUUCUUUUCUUCUUUUUGUUCAAAUAACUUUUACAAAACUUUAUUAAUGUAUAAAAUUGGAUUGAUGACAUAUUCUCCAUAAGAAGUGUCAUGUCUCCUAAACUAUGUAUUCCCUAAUUAAAAAAAAAAAGAAGUUGAUUGCCCCUUUUUUCGGAGAAAGAAUGUGAAUGCCAUGGUGAUCAGCAUGAAUCGAAUCUAGGUGAUUUUUCGUAUUGCGACCGAAGCUCCCUCAAGUAAUCACCACUGAACUAGCGCACGCUGGUUUUGUAUUCACUAAUUAUAAAGUUUCAUCCUUAUUUUCCUACAGUAUUAAUGUUACAAGUUUAUUUCCUCGCAUAUAUAAACAUCGAAAUCGGUAGUAUUCCCACAUUCACGACUAAAAUUAUUGUAUUAAAGCAAAAUGUAAACUAAUUUCAACAAAGAAAUAAUUAGAUAAUACUUCUAUUUUAUUUACUUAUAAGUUUAAAAUUGUUCUGUAAUGUGUGUAUAUAUAUAUAUAUAUGGAAAAUAAUAUUUAUGUUGAAUACAAUAUAUUGUUACCUUGUUUAGAUAUAUGAUUCAGGUAUAUAUAAUAAUCUGAAUCGGUUAAUUUAUUCAUUUUUGGUGUAUUAAGUUGGACAUAUUGUUUCAAACUAAAACACAUUUUUUUUUGUCUUAGUUAGGUUAAAAAAAUAAAAAUAUGCAAGUGUCUGAAGAGAUUAUUAUAUUCAUGUGGAAAUCAUUCUGAAAAUACUGAUUAGUCGGUUCCUGAAGCCGGAUAACUAUCACAUCGAUCCAUCCUCCUUGCGUUCAUUUGAUAAAGAGGUAGCAAAACAAUAAUGACAACUGAGACCUUCCAUGUUGAAUAAGCCUUGCAAAUUAAACCAGCAAUCCUUUGCUUCAACAACCGCCCAGACAUAACCACUAAGAGCUAUAGAGAAAUACACCGUAUAUAGCAAGGCCAACAAAGAAGCGACCAUGAAAGGCAAAGGAGGAAGCUUGAAAAAAUGAGUUCAUGAUUAAAUCACCUGGGAAAGGACAGGGAGAAAAAACAGUUCACACCGGGAAAACCUAUCUCAAAAUCAUGACGGAAGGACCAAAAAAAUUAAGAAGAGGAGUAAGCGAGUGAGGAGAUAGACCAACCAAAAUAAAUUGAACAACACACAUCAAGUGCUAAAGAAAAUAUUAAACCGGUCGGGCGAACGCAUACAAAAGAUGAAACAAAUCCAAUAUGAACCAGAGAAAAGGGCCAGAUUAGUGACAAGUAUAUUAAAUGAUGUGCCACAUCCGACAAUUCAAGUGUUUUUGGACAAUAUAUAUGUAUAUGGAUAAACCUCUAUUUAUGAGAUAGUUUUUGGCUGUGAGUUAAGUCCAUUACUAAUAUGGUAUUAGAGUUCAUGGUGAGUCUAUCAUAUAAUUUUCCACAUAAACAGUUUCAUACCUAUAUAGCAUGUAUAAGUGGUUCAUAUUGCUGUGGUAUGUCUCAGAUGUUGGGCUUGGGCUGUUUCCACUGGACCGUUUUCUACCCACAUUUCGAGAAGAGGCUAUUAAAUGAUAUCCCACAUUGAAUAAUUCAAGUGUCCUUAGACAAUAUAUAUGUGUAUGGGUAAACUUUCACUCAUAAGUUAGUUUUUGGGUGUGAAUUAGGCCUAUCACUAAUAAAAUAAAACUCUGUGAGGUGCUUUCUCUCAUCAAAAACACUAGACAAACCGGAAAAUAACCUUAGAACCGACCAUAGUAACAAACCAUUGAGCAGAUCUAAUGUGUGAUCUCUAGAAGUGCAUGAAGGCCAUCUACAACAUUCGGUUAGACAAAUCUAGAAUCUCCAAUCUUAUAGAAGCAUAUACUGAGGGCCAUAUAGGAAAUAAGAAUUCUUCCACUCCGUUUAUAAAACACCACCGGAAACAUCGAUCAAACCACUCACUAUUGAUACGGAAACGACAAAUAAAGACAAAGAGGAAGAUUUCAGCUCCCCUGAUUGAAAAAUUCACUGGAGCUGGUUAAGAAAUGGAAGGAAGUCCCAAAUGGAAUAACGAAGGCUGAAGAAAGAUAGAAAGUGUUUGUGUCAUGUCAUGAUAUUUUAAAAUAGUUUUUUUAUUAAAUAAGAUAGCAUGUUACAUUUUAAAGAGAAUCAUACUAGUAAUUAUCUUGUUAGGCCAAAAAAAAAAAAUCAAUGUGCAAAGAAAAUCCCUAAUCGCCAAAUAUAUUAUAAUAAUAAAAAUUUUGAAAACAAUGAAAAGAAAAGUAGAUGGCAAUUCUUGUCGCUUUCUCACCAACCAAGCAACUUCGAGCCAACGCACAUUUCAUCCGCCGGUACAGUACAGCUACAUCCAAAAGUAAUAAAAUCAAAUCACACUUACCAGUUUGCCAAGUACCAAACAAUCAAGUCCUUAGCCAACUAACGUUCCACACGUGCUUUGCCGGUAGGUACUCACGUGACGGUAGCUUCUUAAUAGCAAUGUUCAGGCUGUGGUACGUCUAUAAAAUGUUUUCUUAUAGCACGAAGAUUUCCACCGAAGCUACAUAGUAAACUCUUUCUCAAAGCAUAAUCCAUCUUUCACACACAAAGAUGGUAGCUCACAAAGAGACCGUGUGCGUAACCGGCGCAUCAGGAUUCAUUGGUUCAUGGCUCGUGAUGCGGCUACUGGAACGUGGUUAUUUUGUCCGUGCCACUGUUCGCGAUCCUGGUACAUAUCUUACAAACUCGUUAAUUUCUCCUGAGAGUAUGUUAAUAAGUAACUUACGAGUGUUCUUGGCCUGUAAAGGAAAUUUGAAGAAAGUGCAACAUCUUCUUGAUUUGCCAAACGCGAAGACGCAACUCACUUUAUGGAAAGCCGAUUUAUCUGACGAAGGAAGCUACGAUGACGCCAUAAACGGAUGCGACGGCGUUUUCCACAUAGCAACUCCCAUGGAUUUUGAAUCUAAGGACCCCGAGGUGAGUUAUACUAUGAACCUUUUUUUAUUACAUAUCAAUCCUACAAGAUUUUGUUAAAUGAGUUUGUUUGAAUCAGAACGAAGUGAUAAAACCGACAGUGAAUGGAGUGUUGGGGAUAAUGAAAGCAUGUGAUAAGGCAAAGACCGUACGAAGAAUUGUGUUUACUUCGUCUGCUGGAACGGUUAAUGUUGAGGAACACCAGAAAAAUGUCUAUGAUGAAAACGAUUGGAGUGAUCUUGACUUUAUCAUGUCCAAGAAGAUGACAGGAUGGGUAUAUAUAUUAAGGAUCAUAUAUAAAAAAUUAACUUGAGGUUGAUCUUCUUCAAAGUUAUUUAUGUUUUUGAUAAAUUGUUGGCAGAUGUAUUUCAUGUCGAAAACGUUAGCCGAGAAAGCAGCUUGGGAUUACGCGAAGGAAAAAGGAAUAGAUUUCAUUAGUAUUAUCCCGACAUUGGUGAUCGGUCCAUUUAUAACAACAUCUAUGCCGCCUAGCCUUAUUACCGCGCUCUCUCCUAUCACUCGUGAGUGAGCCUACUUUCUUAUCCCUCUUUUUUUUUAACUAAGAGGUUAAUUUUAAACUGUAAAAAUGUUUUAGGUAACGAGGCACAUUACUCCAUCAUAAGACAAGGACAGUAUGUCCACUUGGACGAUUUAUGCAAUGCCCAUAUAUUCUUGUACGAACAAGCUGCUGCCAAGGGACGUUAUGUUUGUUCCUCUCACGAUGCAACGAUUCUUACUAUCUCCGAGUUUCUCAGGCAAAAAUAUCCAGAAUAUAACGUGCCUUCAACGUAAGAUUUUUAUCAAUACCGGUUUAAGCUUGUUUUGCAUAUUCAGUUAAUUUUUUUUUUCUGAAUAUGAACUCUUUGGAACAGGUUUGAAGGAGUGGAUGAGAAUCUAAAGAGCAUUAUGUUCAGUUCCAAGAAGCUGAUUGAUAUGGGAUUUAACUUCAAGUAUAGUCUCGAGGAUAUGUUGGUGGAAUCGAUUGAGACAUGUCGUCAAAAGGGUUUUCUCCCUGUCACUUUACCGGAACAUUUGAAAUCUGAGGACAAAGUUCCGGGCAGUGAUGAUAAUAAGGAGAUUAAAAACGGAUCUGCAGGUUUAACUGAUGGUAUGGUAGCUUGUAAGAAGACCGAACCAGGGAUGGCCGGCGAGAAAGCCGAUAGUCACAUGUCGGCACAGCAGAUCUGUGCUUAGAAAUUGAACCCGUAUCUAAUAUGGAUCUAUUGUCUUAUGAAUGUGUGAUUUGUUUUUUUUUUCUUUUUAAGUUUGUAUGAAAGUGUUGUGGACUUAUUUAUGGUAUAUGAUAUCAUGUGUGAGUGUGAAAAAUUAUGAAUCAAUAUUAUUAAAUUAAACCGUAAUACGUAUGGCAGCGUAAGAUUAUGAAUCCGAAUACAUAUGGAUGCAUGAUACAGUCUUACGGAAGUACAGGGUGUAAUCAGGCUAUAUAACGAAAAAAUUAUACCUGAACAAGAAAACAAACAUGAGGUUCUAUGGACCAGACACUAGACCAUUUAUAACUUUUACUUGGAAGCUACAGUGUUCUCGGAAAUUGAAAUAUUUUGUUUUACAAGCAAUAUAUGGGAGUUUAUAUUUCAUUAAGGAUUUACGGUCACGUGGAAUUCAAUGUGAUAUGCUAUGGAAUAUAUAUUUGGAGCGGAGAAAGAAUCAAUUAAUCAUGUCUUAUUUGAACUCAAACCAGUGAUUCAAACUUUGACUACAUCUACUGAGAGUAUGUUAAUAAGUAACUUACGAGUGUUCUUGGCCUGUAAAGGAAAUUUGAAGAAAGUGCAACAUCUUCUUGAUUUGCCAAACGCGAAGACGCAACUCACUUUAUGGAAAGCCGAUUUAUCUGACGAAGGAAGCUACGAUGACGCCAUAAACGGAUGCGACGGCGUUUUCCACAUAGCAACUCCCAUGGAUUUUGAAUCUAAGGACCCCGAGGUGAGUUAUACUAUGAACCUUUUUUUAUUACAUAUCAAUCCUACAAGAUUUUGUUAAAUGAGUUUGUUUGAAUCAGAACGAAGUGAUAAAACCGACAGUGAAUGGAGUGUUGGGGAUAAUGAAAGCAUGUGAUAAGGCAAAGACCGUACGAAGAAUUGUGUUUACUUCGUCUGCUGGAACGGUUAAUGUUGAGGAACACCAGAAAAAUGUCUAUGAUGAAAA